GGCAAUUGAAGCUGAGGGUUGGAAAAGGGAGGGAGGUUUGAUGGAGAUAAUGCAAUCUGGGGUCCGCCGGAAAGAUGAGAGAUGUGGCGUGAAUGAUGAUUUGGUGAACCCUCCAGGGAUCUGCCCCCUGUGGGAGGAUAAGAAGUAAAAGAAGAUUUUGGCACUAGAAUUGGUUCGCUAGAGUAGUGAUGCUGCUGCUGCUGAUGCUGCUGGAGCUGCUGUGGCUGCUGCUGUUCAGGAUAUGAUGAAGUUCUGUACAGAGGCUUCAAUUCUGAGAGAUGGGCAGAAGAAGCAUGGGGCUGUGAUGACCAUCUUUUGCCAUCCUGAAGGCUUUCAGUCUCAAACAUAUGUUGAUCAAACCAGUAAUGUAGAUCCUCUUCCUGUGCCCAUUCAGCAGCUGAAGAACCUGAAAAGAACAUUUCAGGAAACUUUGAUCAGUUGCAAUAUGACACCCAGGAAAAAAAAAAAAGGAAGCAUAUCAUCAGGCUCCAAGAAUUAUUCGCUGAAUGUCAAUAUGAUACAAUUGCAGAAGAUAGAGGCAGAUAUAGUGGUAUACAUUUGACAGGUCCCACUCAGAGGAUCUCCCUGAGGACCCUAACCCACAUUUUACCUCACAUACAGCAAGAAAACCCAUUCUGAAGAGUGGGAGACCAACUAGAAGAUAUGCAAUGCCAUCAGGCACACAUUUAACAUCUCCAUGGAAAUACCAUAAAAUGAGUGGACAAUAUAUCACUUGCAAAACAACCAAGUAAAUAAGCAAAUUAGCCAAUUUAUACCCCCAUUCUUAUAUCACACUAAAACACUACUUACUAGGCUUGCCUGAGGCUUCAGGAAUCCCCUUUUAGAUUUGAGAACAUAUGAAAAAGGAGGAUCAGUUUGAAGUUAUGACUAGGCGCUAGAGGGGUAGUGAUAAUUUUGUGGGUGUUCCUUUAUGCAGUGGGAUCCAAAGAAAAGAGCAUAGUUGUGAAAGGCGCUCCUAGGCUCGGGGCGGCGCGACACCCCUUCACGAAAGCGCUGCUUAAGCCGCAAGGCGCUCACCUCCGACAAGGCGAUAUGCGGUCAUCUAACUCGCCUCCGGCCAAGUACGCCCUCCGACCCCUCCUUCUCCUUCAGUCCGUCAGGUUGCAGAGGGUUGGGGCUGAGCCCUAAUUUCUUUUUUACUUUAUGGGUCCAAAAUGACGUCGUUUUGGCCCUUUUAAUUUUAAAAGGAACAGGCCAAAACGACACCGUCUUGGCCCUGUUUUCCUUUCCAACCCCCUUUUCUGGUAUUUUUCAACUCGACACCACUCCCAAUCGUGCCCUAGCCUCAGUUGUGCAAUGGAGAAGUGAAGAAGAAGAAGAAGAAGAAGAGGAAAAAUAGGAGAAAAAUAGAGGGAAAAUAGUCACGUACCUUCCAUUAGGUGCGCCUUUCACAACUAUGAUUUGCAAUAUGGAUUUGGAUUUGUUUUUAUGCUUGGAGUUCUUUAUUUUAUUUUUUUUGUUGAUUAAAUUGAAGUUGUGGAUGAUAUUUGAUGAUUUAUGUAUUUAGGACAAAUAAAUUAUUGUUAAAUUUGAUUAUAUUAUAUAAAAAUAUAUAUGUAAAUUAAGGUACGCCUCACUUCACUAAAGCCUGCGCCUUAAGCACGUCUUGCGCCUCAGGCUCCAGGACUACUUUGCGCCUUGGUGCGCUUUGAGACUUUUAAAACUAUGGGAAAGAGAAGGACCUCUAAGGACUUAAGGCCUAGAAACUUGGCCUUUGAGGAAUGCAGCCACUAGCAGAUUAUAAGGAAGCAAGUUGGGGGUGAAAAUCUAGAGCCACGUGGGAUAAGGAAGCUAAUUGGAACACCAAACUUUUUUCAAUGAAUUGCCAAAAAGCCUACAGAAGAUGAAUUAUCUGAGCAAGAUUAAAGUUGAUGGGUGUGGUCAUAAUAAUUAAUGAUAACAAGUUGGGGCUCUCAUGUUUCUUUCAGCAAGUAUACUGAGAUACAGGAGUUUGAUAGCAUCAUUUUGAACCUGCUCCAUGUAACAUAGGUCUUCAAGAGCUAAUCUAGUCAUGGAAUGGUUGUCACAGGAUUUGUAGCUAUGACCAUAACAAAAGAUAAAAGGACAAUUUGAAGGCUAGCAUGAAGACAAUCGAACUCGUAACAUAUACAUAUACAACUUUAUUUUUAUAAGAAAAGAUAUAUUGAAGCACUUGAAAAAAGGUGCUAAAAAGUAUGCACGGAGUAAACAAAUUGGGCCCAAAAGCAAACCAAAAAAGGAAAAGAAGAGAAAAACCCACCACCCUAACAACAAGCAGCCCUAACCAACAGAAAGAAAAGCAGAAACAACCCAAACAACAAGGCUAAACAAUAGAAAAACCCUACAACUGGAAGCACCCUCUUUCCUCAAUCCCCAGCACCACUCCCCUUUCCUCUAGCAGUGAACGGAGAGCUAUUGUAGUUAAUCAAGCACUCUUAACUUUCGCAUUUCCCUCUUGAAACGGGAAGAAGACCUUUUCUUACCCCCACAACCUCUUCUUUACUCCAAUUUUCUGACAAUAGCACAAAUUUCCUUCUCAAAGCCCGCAACUGGCAUCCCCAAACAAUUACUGAACUCAACAAAACCACUAGGAAGGCUAUUAAAAUCCUCUCCCUCCAAGGCACCGAAGUCCACAUCCCUUUAACACUCCAACUCCUCGGCCCUAGCAACCAUCUCCAUACCAGAGGGCUCCUUCAUAGUCUUCCCCGAGAGAUCCAGCAUGCUGUCAUCCUGCAGCACCAUCAUUAGCGGCUGACAUCGAGGACUUCGAGGACCCAAGGAAAGGGGGGAAGGCCCAGAUUGCCCAUUCGCCUCCGCCACGAGUGCCUCAUCUGUAAUCGCAGCUCAAGAAGUUAACGAAUCCANNNNNNNNNNNNNNNNNNNNNNNNNNNNNNNNNNNNNNNNNNNNNNNNNNNNNNNNNNNNNNNNNNNNNNNNNNNNNNNNNNNNNNNNNNNNNNNNNNNNGGCUAUACUCUGCCCUCUUCUCCUGACAGAUCCGCCAAAGCUUUCUCCUCUUCUACUCUCAAGCACGCAAAGAACACACCCCUCCUGCACCUUCUCUGCAGAAGGAGCAAGCCCUAACAAGCCCUCAUCACCUUUAAAGCUCCACUUAAAGGCCCAACCUCCUCUGAGGCCCUUCCCACAAUUCUGUUAGUACAAACUUGGGCCAGGCCCAAUCUUAGUGGACCCUUCACUCUUAUAUCCGAAAACACAAAGGCAUCCCCAUUUUCAACACUGCAAGCCUCUCCCAACCCUUGUCGGCCCAAAGAAGAAGACCCAAGAACCUCCCCACCAGCCUUCACAAUGACAUCAGGCCCAACUACCCCACCACCUCCCAUAACAGCUGUAACCCUCUUUUCACGUCCUAGGAAAUCCCCCCUCCUCUCUUCCUUUUCCCUUAACAGAUACUGCUAUAGAGUCCACUGUUCCCUCUCGUACCAACUUUGGCCUGCAACAAGUCAAACCUACAGCAGCUGCUUUUGCGUCAAAACCUGCAGCACCCUCACCCGCCACCUUAGACCUGCAGCAGAGCAACUCGACAGCUGCUGUAGGACCCAAGGGUUGCAGUCCCCUCCCAUCAUCGGCGCAUGAGAAAACUCCCACUCCUGCCCCAACUUCUUGCUCACUGGGCACACAGUCUCUUCUUCUAGGCUCCACAAACAAAAAACCUGGCGAAGCUUCCCACCACAGUUGUAAGGAGAAGCUGGAGUUGCCCACUACCACUUGCAACAAGCUAGGUAAAAAAACUCCUAACAGGAUGCACCAAAAUCCUGGCCCAAUGCAGAUUAUUCAAAAGAGCUGUCUUCAUCCACAGCAGCAAACCCACCACAUUCAUCCCCAAUCUUCUUAAACACCACCUGACUCCACAGGUGUAACACGAAAUCCAAUACCCUCAUCCACAUCUCCUUGGCAUGACCCCUUCCUCAGACAACCAACCUUGGGAGUCCGCCUUACCAAGUGCAGCACUCUCUCCUUAACCCUUCAAGAACCUCUUGCAAGCACCCUUUCUGCCUCAGCAAAUAUCUCAAAAUCAAAUAAGAGCAAGUUACCUCCAAAACCUGAAAUCUUCAACNNNNNNNNNNNNNNNNNNNNNNNNNNNNNNNNNNNNNNNNNNNNNNNNNNNNNNNNNNNNNNNNNNNNNNNNNNNNNNNNNNNNNNNNNNNNNNNNNNNNNNNNNNNNNNNNNNNNNNNNNNNNNNNNNNNNNNNNNNNNNNNNNNNNNNNNNNNNNNNNNNNNNNNNNNNNNNNNNNNNNNNNNNNNNNNNNNNNNNNNNNNNNNNNNNNNNNNNNNNNNNNNNNNNNNNNNNNNNNNNNNNNNNNNNNNNNNNNNNNNNNNNNNNNNNNNNNNNNNNNNNNNNNNNNNNNNNNNNNNNNNNNNNNNNNNNNNNNNNNNNNNNNNNNNNNNNNNNNNNNNNNNNNNNNNNNNNNNNNNNNNNNNNNNNNNNNNNNNNNNNNNNNNNNNNNNNNNNNNNNNNNNNNNNNNNNNNNNNNNNNNNNNNNNNNNNNNNNNNNNNNNNNNNNNNNNNNNNNNNNNNNNNNNNNNNNNNNNNNNNNNNNNNNNNNNNNNNNNNNNNNNNNNNNNNNNNNNNNNNNNNNNNNACAAAAAGUGUUUCAAUGGCACUAGUUCUGAAAAAGGAAUUAAAAAUCAACUAUAGUAAACUAAAAAAGGAUAUGCAAGAUUUGUACUCACUUUCUCUGGAUCCCCUAUCACCAAUAAUUCCUGCAUUUCUUGGUCCACUAACACCUGUUUCCAACUGUGACAAAACAAACAGAACUUAGAACACAAGAAACAAAUAACCCAGAAUAUAACAUUAGGAUGUAACCACUUAUGAGUCAAAAUCAGAACUAACAAAAUGCAUAUGUGUGGAGAAUCCUGCCAGUAAAUACCAGAUUAAUAUAAUUUUGGGGAAUAAGACAUUUCACUCCCCUGUUCUCUCAAUUCCUAAUUUUCUUUCUAAAGACAUAUAUACAUAUGUAUAGGGGAUUAUGAGAAAUGCGUUCAUUGGCAGGCAACAUGUUGAUUUAACGAACCACCUAGUAAAAUAAAUUAGAAGAAUUUAACCAUCAAAAUUGAUGAGCCAAGACUUUGAUAGGGCCAUUUUAUCAUCCUUUUAAAUUGGUGAACCAAAUUAGACAAGAAAAUUACAGUACUUUUCAGAAUAUGAUGUGUGUCAGAAAAAAUGGGGAGAUGGCACCAAUAGGUCAUGUUUGGAGUCCUGGAAUUGAGUUCCAUACAAGAAUAUUCUAUCUGAACGGACAGAACCCACCCCUUUUGUAGUGGGAUAAAAAUCUUUCACCCUAACUUUUCAUUGUCAUUUUUCCACACCAAUGUGGUCAAGAUCAUUAGGAAAUGUGGGAUGUCAAUGGUUAUGCAAUUCUUAAUGCUCACUUAGUAAUUUUUCCACCAUUACACAGGCUCAGAUUCUAAUUGUAGAUGAUGUGCAGGCUAUUCAUAUGGCAAAAUGAAUAUCUUAUAAUAUAUUCAAAAUAACAGGAAAAGCUGCAGCUUUUAGAGUCCAUGAGCUUCAAAUCAAGUAAACAUAAGACCUUAUGUAAGUUUGGUAGUGCAUCAACCUAAAUCCAAACAAUAGUGUGCUGACAAAUGCAUCUAACAGGAGAACACACCAAUAUUUUUAAACUUAAGAAUUUAAUCAAAGGAUUCAAAAAGGCACCAAGUCCAUAACAGGACAAUCAUGUAACAAGCUAAUUUUUUUUUACACACACCACUGCCAUAUCAUCUCCAUGUUUAGGAAAUCUUUUUCUAUAAGACAGUGUUUCAGAAACCUCACCUUUGAAAAAGUACUAGCAAGAUCAUCAAUAUCAGAUAAAGACCUUAGAACUUCACCCUGAAAAUGUGAGCAAAAAAUAAAAAAUCAGUUGCAUAAACUAAAGAGUACUGCUCUGAUCAUUAAAAAAAAAAUCUAGCAAGUAAUGCAUUUGAAUAGUUAGAAGUCAAAACUAAAUCUUUAUCCACUUAUCUAGCAAAAUACUGAGCAUUUAAAGAAGGGAUAUGUGUUUACGUCAAGAGAGGAUGAGAGACAGAGAGAGAGAGAGAGAGACUAGAAUGUAUUAACAUGUCAAAUGAUAAAACAAAGCUGGUAAACACAAGAUUACAAUUUUCCCCCCUUCUUGGGUGAGGGUGACCUCAACAGCAAGGCCAGAUUUCCCAAUAGAAAAAUAACAGAGAGCUGAGAACUUAACAGACAAAUUACUUAAAUUUUUUUUUAUCAGAAAUAAAUGAUUUAAUGAAUUAUUAAAGGUUGUAAAAAUGCCCAAAAACGGGUUGCCACUCAACCCAUUUGAGGCAUCUAUAUUGGAAUGCCAGUGAGAGCCUAUCCGCCACUUCUUCAAGGAGCUUCACCCAAAAUAAAUUAACUCCUGCCACUUUGGAUCAGAAGAUAUCAUUUUAAAUAGCUGAACAAAAAUGGGUUGUCACUCAAUCCAUUUGAGGCAUCUAUACCAAAAUUCCAGUGAAAGCCUAUAUGUCACUUCUUCAGGGAGCUUCCCCCACAAUAAAUUAACUCCUGUCAUAUUGGAUCAGAAGAUAUCGGUUUAAAUAAUUGAACUUCUUGAGUUGCAGAAUCUUAUCAGUUAGAAACUAAGCACAGAUGAUUAGAUUCAGAUACUUCCUUGGGGACCGUCGCCCAAACUAAAUGACUCCUACAAUCAAUUUAGAUAAGCAAAUAUUACCAAAAAGUACAACAUCAUUUAGCCCCUUGGCUUGUUCAAGUCUUAUCAUUUAGAAACUACACACAAAUGACUGGGUUCUGAAACAGCUAUCUAAGACUAAAAAUUAUAAUAAUGAAUUCUCCAUUCACAGGUGUGGAAUGACUCCAUUCCACAGUGUAACACGAAAUGAUCAGUUCCUUGAUGAAAAAUGCAUAUAUGUGCUCUAUGCAUGUUGUUUCUUAAACCCCCGACUCCCUAGAAAGAUUUGCAAGCCAGUCAAUUUGAACCAUGAAGCAAAUAACAAAAUGAUUCCAACAAUCCCUCCACAUUUUAAAAUUAUUUAAAAUAUUAAAUAAAAUAAAAAAUAAAAGAUACUUCUGAAUGAACCCUGUGCAGGAAUUUACCUAAAUUUCAUCAUCUAAAAAAUUUCAUACAGAUUAUUAGGCCUCAGCCCCGUCCAGGUACGCAGAGAAAAGAAAACCUUACAUAUUGUAUUGGAAUAAUAUAUCAUUGGUAUUCUUUCUCUCUCUCUCUCUCUCUCUCUCAACCUUCCAUUUAUCCAGAGAGAGAGAAAGAGAGGGAGAAUGGAAAGAGAUAUCCAGUAAAACACCAGAGGUAGUAAAACACAAAAUUCUCACUGUAAAACACCAGAGGUUGGAAAACACAAGAUUCUCAUUCUUAUGGAAAGCCUCAGCCCAGUCCAGCUACGCAGUGAAAACUCCAUGGGAGAGUGAUUUACCAAUUUAGAAGGUAAAUCUAACAAAAACAAAAGAAUGGCUUGCAACAGGAAAAUACAUCUCUACCAAAAUGCAGACAAAAUGCACAAACCAGAGCAAAAUCUACAGUGACUUGGGAUAAGCAGCAAAACAGCAUUUAAAGUAGUACAAGAGUGAACUCCCAGAAUCAGAAGUUCUCUAUAACUUAUUGUUGCAAAAACUGUACAUAGAUGACUCUGCCAAGAGCAGCCAUCUAAGAUUAAUAAAAGCUUCAAGAAGCAACCAUCAUCAAAAACAGGUGGAAAGAAAUCAAGGAACAUCAUUUUGUGAAUUUUUUUUUUUUUUUUUUUUUGAUAGACAAAUAGAAAUUAUAUUAAGAGAACACUAAGCAAAAGAGGUGCAUCCAAUGUACACUUGUGGUAUACAAAAGGCUCAAAAAAAGACCCAACUGAACAAGAUAGCCCACAAGCAGACCAAUCUAAUCACAAUUAAGGCUACCUAAAAAAUCCAACAUUGUAACAAUCUCCAUCCCCAUUGCAUCCCAUGACCACUCCAACACGGAUUUCAAAUAGGUCCCCUUCAAUCUUUGACCUAACAACUCUUCCUCAUAGAGUAUCCUUCUAUUACGCUCUUUCCAAAUGCACCAAAUAAGGAACCAUACACCAAAUAAGCAUAAAGGAACCAUGCACCAAAUUUUCUUUUGCCUUUUCUCUAUUGCCUUGGCCUUCCACCCUAAGAGAAGGUUUUUCACUGUGUCCAAAUACAUCUAUUUUAACCCAAAAAUUACUAAAAUAAGAUUCCACAACUUUUUGGUCCUAUCACAAUGAAUAAGGAUGCAAUCAGUUGUUUCUUCACUAUCUUUGGAGUGGCCACAUCUAUCAACCAUCAUCCACCCUCUUGUUAUGAUGAUAUCUAUGGUUAGGAUCUUCCCCCAAUUUUUUUAUAAAAAAAAAUAAAAAAUAAAACAAAAUACAAAACAAAAAACAAAAAAUACAGGUUGUCAAAAGGGCUUGGGACCUCCAAAUUUCUUUGGCAGUAAACAUCACUCUACUCCCGCCACAUAAAAAACCAUAGUAAGACUUAACACCAAAGUUUCCUUUCUCAUCUUCUUUCCAUUAUAGGUUUUCCACCCCUACUCCUUGUACUCUCUCUAACUGAAUGAACUUGAAAAUUUGAACCAUCAAGUUGCCAAACCUAAAAGUGCCUUCCGUACCGUACAGACCAAUGGCCUCCAUUCCUUUUCCCUUCCCACAAUCCUGCAACCAUCGCAUCAUUGUCAGAGGCUAAACAGAAAGGAAUGGGAAAACCACUUUCAAAGGACUCUCACCAACCUAUCUAACCUGAAUAGCUGUCCUGAUUUUAAAAUCAUACCAUCCUCUUAUAAUGGCCUUCCAUAAGCUUACUCCAAAAUACACUCUCACCUCUAGGGCACUCUAUCCCCAUUGAUUUCUCCAUAUUUGGAUAUGACAUAAUAAAGAAAAAAAAAAGUCAAUAAAAAUCAAUUACAAGAAAAAAAUAACAUAUUCUUGAUAAAAGAAUUAUAUAUUAAAAAAAAAAAAAACCCUUUCUCUUUUAUGUCACGUCAACCCGAGUAUGUUAGGUAAAGGUGAAGAGUCCAGAUGUAUACAUCAAAUUUCCAAUUCUUGCACCCAAAGAAGGACAAAUAGGAGCAAAUCAUGUCACCAACAGAUAAUUAGAAUUAAGGAGUAUCCAUGGUAUGUGUUACCAUUUGGGUGACACUUUGGGAAUUCAUAAGAAUAUAUACCCCAAAAAAAAAUGGGUGAGCGAGAGAGAGAGAGAGCGAGAGAGCGCGAGAGCGGAGGUGAUGAAGGGGGUGAAGGUGCGACGAAGCGAAGGAAAAGGGAGAGGAAAAGCUUUGUCGUCGAAUCUAAGACCUUCGAGAUCAACUUAGAAGAGAAACGGGGAAAAAUCCAAGUUGAGAUCUGGGAGAUGAAGAAAGGGAUUUCUUCUUGGGUUAGAUUGGGGCUGGCAAGUCUAGGGUUUCUGUCGGAGGGCCUAGAGUAUUGUAUUAAGGAUGGGAAAGGAGGAAAAUGGGAAAGGGGCUGGAAAGAGAAUGGGAGAUCCUACUCCCUGGUACGUGGCGAGAACAAGGGGGGUCUCUAUCUCAGGUUGGAGGUAGUAGAUCUGGAGAAGAAGAGGCAUAGUAUCAUCGUUCCGAAAGGUAGGGGAGAAAAGGGGGGAUGGGUGACCAUGGCGGAGAAAAUUCAACAAAUGGGAGGUUUCAGUGGGAGAAAGGAGCAAAAGCAGAAAGAGUGGUGUGGAGGGAAACUUGGGAUGGAAGUAUCGUAUGCGGAAGUGGUGAAGAAACAGAAGAAUAGAGAUAGAAAACUAGUUAGGAUGGAGGUGAGAAAGGAGGAAGUCCAAAACAAUUUGCGAAAGCUGGAACACUGCAUUAUUGGGAGUUGGGAUCCUUGCUCAGCAGGAGGAGAGGAUCUGGAAUCGUUGGGGCAAACAAUGUCAAAAGUUUGGGGGCUGAAGGGUAAUCUGGGGCUGGCAAGGAUGGAAAAGAAUAGGGUUCUGCUGGAGUUCGAGAUUUUGGGUGAAGCUAUUCGGGUAAUGUCCACGGGGAAUAGAUCGUUUGACGGGGCUCAUUUGAGACUAGAAAGAUGGAACCCUAGGAUCGGGUGCUCGGAAGAGGUGGAGAUUACAAAUGAAGUUUGGGUCAGGAUCGUAGGGUUACCAUUAUCGCUAUGGAACAAAACCAUCUUGAGAAGAGUGGGGGAGGAGUGUGGCGGAUUUAUAGCAAUGGACCCUAGGACGGAAAAGAUGCAGGAGCUUCAAUGGGCGCGAAUCCUGAUCAGAACAAACGGGGAAGACCUGCCAAGUAGGUUGGAGAUCUCAGUGGAGGAGAAGGUGUACGCUCUUGCCCUCUGGUGGGAGCUGAAACCGUCUCUGAAAAAGGCUCAGGAGAAUAGGAGCGAAGUGACCCAGAGUACCAGAGGAGAGGUUAGGGGUGAUGGUGCCUCACGCGCUGUUACGCGAGUGGGGAAGGAGGUGGAAGGCACACAGCUCGAGGCGCUGCUGCUGCCAGAAAAAAUGAUGGGGAUUCAGGAGGGAGAAGUGGGCCGGGUGAUUGAAAAAUGGGACCAAGGAGGAUCGGGGGCCCGGUCAACCCAGGACGCUGUGGAUUUUGGGCCUCAAUCGGCAGGCCCAGAUUUGGGACCAAAAGGAAUGAAGAGGGUGGGUGGGCCUUACAAUCAAGGGGCAACGAUGGGCUUAAACUUAAAGCUAAAAGGAGUGGUGGGAGUGCUAGCUGGGCAGGAGGCUGGGCCAUCAAAAACAUGGUGGACUACUGAGGAGGAAAGCCCAUCGUGUGAUGGAGGAAUGGACCUGGAGGAAAGCCCAAGUAAGCCACUGCUUCAAGACACCAAUAAAGAUCAGCAACUGAAGGUGUGUUCGCCGGCCUCUCCAUUGGUAAAUAACGAGAGCAACAUGGAGGAAGAAGUUCUAAAAAAUUGGGAGACAGAGGAUUUGAGAAAGAGAAAUACGAAGUUCUUGCACUCGGCGACAGAUUCGACGCUUAUUGAGGAAGCUAUGAGGUACGGGUCUGUCCUUUUGUUGAGGGGGGAAAGGGUGCCUGGGUCUUCUCAUCUUAUUUCUUUUUCUCUUGAUCGGGCUCCGGAGGGGGGGCAUUACGAUCGUUCUGGAAAUGCUGGGGUGGAGCCUCAGUUUGAGGUUCCCUUGUGUGUAGUACCGAGUGAAGGGUCAGAGGAGAAUGUAAUUGGAUGCUGGGCGUUGGUAGAGAAUAAUGGCGGCAGCACUAUGUAUAGGGAUGAGGAGUGGGGUCCAGGAUUGAACGACCCUCAAGCUGAAAGGGGAGAGAAGGAGGAGAGAUGGGAGGAAAGCAGCCUGGCAAAAUUCAGUCACUUCUUGGGAUUUUCGACUGAGGGUUUAGAAAAGGAAAUCCUGGACUUUUUGAUUAAAAUCAGAAAAAGAAGGGAGAGAAUACAUGAUAAGGUGCUGCUAGAAAAGUCCAAGUUUGAAAGGGAAUUGAAGAGGUUGGAGUGCUCAGUGAAUUAUGAGAAGGGAAGGAAGCAGAAAGACCCACCAAAGGGUAAAGGGUGCCAUCUUUCAGUGCUACAAUGAAGCUAAAAUUGCUGAGCUGGAAUGUGAGGGGGGUGAAUGAAAAGGAGAAAAGGAAAAUCAUUAAGACAUUUAUAAGGAAUCAGAGGGUAGAUCUAAUGUGUAUCCAGGAAACAAAAAUCCAAUCAAUGUCGGAGGGGGUGGCAAGAAGUCUAGGGUCGGGAAGAUUUUUGGAUUGGAGGGCCCUGGAUGCAAGCGGGACUGCGGGAGGAAUUCUGAUAUGUUGGGACAAAAGGACAUUGGAGAUUAUGGAUUGGGAGGAGGGCCAAUUCUCUUUAUCCUGCAGAUUCAAAAAUGUGGAUAAUGGGAUGGUUUGGGUGUUCACGGGAGUUUAUGGACCUUUCACUAAAGAGGAAAGGGAGUGGCUGUGGGAAGAAAUUGGGGCGAUCAGAGGCCUCUGGGAAGACCCGUGGUGUGUAGGAGGUGACUUUAACAUCACCUUGUUCCAAAGGGAAAGGAAUAGACAGGGGAGAAUAUCUUCAGCUAUGAGGAGAUUUGCCCAGGUUGCUGAUGAAUUAGGGCUGAGGGAUAUUCCUAUGCAAGGGGGAGUGUUUACUUGGAGUGGGGGACCUAACAAUCAGUCUUGGGCUAGAUUGGAUAGGUUUUUGGUGAAUACCAGCUGGCUGGAUCAGUUUAGUAGCGUUUUACAGAGUAGACUGCCUCGGCCUUUAUCUGAUCACUUCCCGGUCUCACUAGAGGGAGGAGGUCUGAGAAGAGGCCCCUCUCCCUUUAGAUUUGAGAAUAUGUGGCUUAAGGUGGAGGGAUUCCAAGAUAUGAUUCGAAGAUGGUGGUGGGAGAUUGAGGUGAGAGGCAGUGCUAGUUACAUAUUGGCUACUAAGUUGAAGGAAAUUAAACAGAAAUUAAAAAUUUGGAACAAGGAGGUGUUCGGGAAUCUGGGAUGUAAUAAAGCGGCAGCCCUGCAACAAGUGGAAUUUUGGGACUGUGUAGAAAGUGAAAGAAUUCUGUCAAUGGAGGAAACAGAAUUAAAAAAUGAAGCUAAGGUAAAUUAUCAAAAAUGGAUGCUUUUGGAGGAAACACAUUGGAGACAAUUAUCACGGGAGAUCUGGCUAAGGGAAGGGGACAGAAAUACGGGUUAUUUUCACCGUAUAGCAAAUGCAAAUCGUAGGAAUAAUUAUCUGGACAGAAUUAAAAUUGAUGGGGUGAGCCUUACGGAGGAGCAGGAAGUGAGGGAUGGAGUGGCAAAUGCAUAUCAGAAGCUGCUUUCAAAAGAAGCGGGGUGGCAGGCUGAUAUUGGGAGGCUGUGCUUAGACCAGAUCAGUCAACAAGAUGCAGAAAAUUUGGAAUCCCCUUUUUCUGAGGAGGAGGUUCAUUCAGCAUUGUUGGAGAUGAAUGGGGAUAAAGCCCCGGGGCCGGAUGGCUUUACAGUAGCUUUUUGGCAAAGUUGUUGGGGUUUUGUUAAAGAGGAGAUCUUGGCAAUGUUCAAGGAGUUCCAUGAGCAGAAAACGUUUCUCAAGAGCCUAAAUAAUACAUUCUUGGUCCUGAUUCCUAAGAAAGGUGGGGCUGAAAAUAUUGGGGAUUUUAGACCUAUUAGUCUCUUGGGGGGGUUGUAUAAAUUGUUGGCUAAAGUACUGGCUAAUAGGCUGAAAAAAGUGAUUGGGAAAUUGGUCUCCCCUGCUCAAAAUGCCUUUGUGAUGGGUAGACAGAUUCUUGAUGCCUCCCUAAUUGCAAAUGAGGUGAUAGACUCGUGGCAAAAAAGAAAAGAGAAGGGGGUCAUUUGCAAAUUGGACAUUGAGAAAGCCUAUGACAGCUUGAAUUGGCAGUUCUUAAUGAAAGUUCUUCAAAAAAUGGGCUUUGGGCAAAAAUGGUUGGGUUGGAUGUGGAGUUGUAUAUCUACAGCAAGAUUCUCUGUCUUAGUGAAUGGGGUUCCUGCUGGUUUCUUUCCGAGUACUAAGGGGCUCCGCCAAGGAGAUCCUCUAUCUCCUUACCUCUUCGUCAUGGGCAUGGAAGUGUUGGGUAUCCUUCUGAGGAGAGCUGUGGAAGGGGGUUUCCUAUCAGGGUGUAGCAUUCGGGAAGGCGGAGAGAGUGCUUUGAACAUUUCUCAUUUAUUUUUUGCUGAUGAUACAAUUAUUUUCUGUGAGGCCAACAAAGAGCACCUGAGUCACUUAAGUUGGGUUCUCUUCUGGUUUGAAGCUGCUUCGGGGUUAAAGAUUAAUUUGAGCAAAAGUGAAAUCAUCCCGGUGGGUGAGGUGGAUGAUAUUGAGGAGCUGGCAGCGGAGGUAGGGUGUCGUGUGAGAUCUUUGCCAUCCCAGUACUUGGGCCUACCUUUAGGGGCUCCUAAUAGGGCCUCUUCGAUGUGGGACGGGGUGGAAGAAAGAGUGAGGAGAAGACUCGCGUUAUGGAAAAGGCAAUACAUCUCCAAAGGUGGGAGAAUCACUCUGAUUAAAAGCACCAUGGCCAGCAUACCCAUUUACCAAAUGUCUCUAUUCCGGAUGCCCAAUAUAGUUGUUAGAAGGCUAGAAAAAUUACAAAGAGACUUCCUAUGGGGAGGGGGAAAUAUGGAGAGGAAAGCACACUUGGUGAAAUGGGAGAUAGUGUGUGGGGACAAAGGGAGGGGUGGGCUGGGUUUGAGAAGGCUGGGCCUUAUGAACAAAGCUUUGCUUGGUAAAUGGAUAUGGAGAUACGCAUGUGAAAGAGAGAAUCUAUGGAAGCAGGUGAUUUGGGCAAAGUAUGGGCAAGAAGAAUACGGGUGGAGGUCUAAAAAACCUAAUGGGGCGUUUGGAGUAGGGGUGUGGAAGGAGAUUAUGAAGGAAAAUGAAUGGUGCUGGGACAGCCUAGAGCUUAGGGUGGGGAAGGGCAAUAAGAUCAGAUUCUGGACUGAUGUGUGGUGUGCGGGUACAGCGUUGUCUCAAUCUUUCCCGCACCUCUUUGCCUUGGCGGUUGACAGGAAUGCUACGGUGGAGGAGAUGUGGGACCAGAAUUCUGAUCAAGGAGGUUGGAAUCUAAGAUUCUUGAGGAAUUUUAAUGACUGGGAGGUGGGCAUGGUAGGAGAUCUGCUCCUUAAGUUGAGAGGGCUUAGGCCGGCUUUGGAGGAAGAUUCAAUCUCUUGGAAGGGAGGAAAAAGCGGUAGAUAUAAAGUCAAGAUGGCGUACAGUGGUUUAGUCAAUCCCAGUGACAUUGUUUUCCCGGAAAAAAGCAUUUGGGUGAAUAGUGUUCCUACCAAAGUCGCUUUCUUUGCGUGGGAGGCAUCGUGGGAGAAGGUGUUCCUUAUUCACUGUACAGUGGUUAGAGCCCUUUGGGAAUUAGUCCUUGGGCUUGUAGGUGUAAAGUGGGUCUUUCCAGAAACUGUAAAGGAGGUCCUAUUGAGCUGGAGAGGUUCUUUUGUGGGGAAAAAAAGGAAAAAAAUUUGGAAAUCCAUCCCGUUAUGUAUUUUUUGGACGGUUUGGAAAGAAAGGAAUAGAUUAGCCUUUAAGGGGGGUGAGCUACAUAUUCAGAAGUUAAAGAAUUUUUUUGUUUGUAACUUGUGGGGCUGGUCUAGAUUGGAUAUUGGAGAGGAUUCUAUAUCCCUUCUAGGUUUUUUAGAGUGGCUAGCAUCCACCUAGGGGGGGUGAGGUCUUCUUGGUCUCUUUUGUUUUUUUGUUGAGAGGUUAUAGUCGCCUUGUAUAUCUCCUGUAUACUGUGUGGCUAUUGGCCUUUUUUGCUUAAUAUAUUUCGAUUUACGUAUCAAAAAAAAAACAGAUAAUUAGAAUUAAAGAAUGAAACUGGAGUUCAUAUCUACUAUACUUAACAUGCCCAAAUAAGAAUACCUCUUCUUCUUCAUACUGCUAUCACAAAUUUAGCAAACACUAAUAUAAACAACCUUAGAAAUGUCAGAAAAUUAGUUACUAUCAAAUUAUUAAAGACAUCAAUAAAACCUAAUUAAAACUUAUCUGUCCACGAAUCAAUUCCAUUUGUAAAAUCUAAACUAACAGAAGUAUAACACCAUCACAGAUAUUUAAAAAAAUUGCAUGCACAUUCUUGAUAUUUUAUUCCAAAUAACCUUCAAUUUACAGAUGAUUCCUUUUUCUCAAAAAUUAUUUUCAAUUCUACACUGCAUUCUAAUUUUGUGUUUGUAUUAUAGAAUGCAGUCAUAUUUCUUCUUUCUAAGAUUUAACCUCCGACCCUGAUUGAGAUGAUAUGUUUGAGGAAGUGCAACAUUUGUGUAUGGUUAUAAAUACGAGAGUAAAAGACCAAAAUUAAAAAAAAAAAAUACAUAAAUAAAAAAUCAUAGAAAAAGAAAGGUACCUCCUCCCUGUCUAACAGGAACUCCUCUUCAUCAAACCCAGCUACAGGCAAAUCUUCAUCUUCUAAUCCACCCAACUCAACUUCCUCAACGACGUCUUUACCAAAAAAUGCAUACUGUGAAGCAUCAAAUACUGCAUAUGCCGAGAAAGGAAAACAACCAAAAAACAAAAGAUUCAUCAAUACUCCACUUAUUUACAGCAUGGAGGAUAAGACAAAUUCUAACAGAACACUAUUCCAUACAUAUGGAAAAUAUGAAAUAAAAGGGGAUAAAAUCCUUGACCAUGGAAUCAACAUAUAUUGAAAAUGCAGCGAGCCCAUAAUAUGUAUGAUAAGAACACAAGCUAUGAUGGUAACAGCCAGUAGCAGCACAAGAACCAGAUGCCCAAAAAAAAGUGCACAACAACUCUGCAACACAUAAUGAAACUGUAGUUCUCUGGUGUUCAGGCAAGCAUUCCUAUUAAUACUAAAACAAGAGCAUUACCAGAUGGUCAACCACUGAAAUCAAAGUCAAUACACUCGAAACCCAUGCUGAGCCGUUAGAUUCAAAGUACACUUGCAGAAUCAGCACCAAAGAGAACACAAACUCACCCUGGAACUGUAGAAGCUUCAUGCUCUAUUAGCCAUCCCGAAAAAGAAUGGAAUCAGAAUUUUGAACCAUAUAUUUUUCUUUUGUUGGAACCCAAAGGCAAAAACCUCCAACCAACCACGUCUAAUAUGAGUAUUACACUUCAAGUUUGUCAAUUAAGAUACAACCACUGAAAACUUUAAGCUGAAUUUCCAUAAAUAAAAAAAUGUUUUGCGAAUGCUAUUUAGGUUUAAAAUUAUAAACUCCUGAUUGUUUUGUUUAAUCUGCAUUCAAUCUUCAGUUGGAAUUAAAUACGGCUGUCCACACAAAAUAAUUGAAAUUUAUUUCCCUUUCUUUCCCAGUUUUCUGGGCAACCAAACAGAGGCUGAACUCCGCAGUCAUAAUUAAUGCACUAAUUACCCAAAUAAACCAAUCGAAAAAACAACAAUAACACCAUAAUAAUACAAAAGCGGAUAUCAGACAGCAGCACGGUCCUCUGUUGGGUUGCCAAAAAAACUUUUAAGAAAAAGAAAAAUCAAAAGCCGACUCAGAAAGCAGAUCUACAAAAUCCCAAAAAGAAGAACGAAAACAAAAAAAAAAAAUCUGAAUUACAAAAUCUAUCGAAAAAGAAAAAUUAAAACGGAGAGAAGAAGAGAAGCAAAACCUGUGGAAGUAUCUCCAAAUUGGUUGAGAUCCGGAUGAUUGGAAGCCUCAUGAAUACCAGCCCCACCACCCUCAAACACACCGUCUUCCAUAUCUAUUCUACACCUUUCAACAAAACAAAACCCUAAAACCAAAAAAAAAAACCUAGCUACAAGGCCCCUUACAGUACAAAUUUGAAGGGCUUGCAAUAAGAUAGCGGAAAGAUCUGUACACUGAAUUGGGUAUGGCAAGUCAUUGAUGAGGAGAUAUUUGGAAUUCAAACCCUAGGUCAUACUCCCAUAUCAUGUGAAUGAAGAAGAUGGAAGGAGAGAAGAUAAUAAACAAUCAAAGCCUACCAAAGUAAGGAAACUAUAUUUUCAUAUUAAAUAUAAAUAUAUAUAUAUAUAUAUAUAUAUAUAUAUAUAUAUAUAUAUAGUUACUUUUAAUUUAUUUUUUUUAUAAUUGAAAGUAGAAAAUAAAAUUUGUUUCAAAAUAGACCGUUAAAAUAUUUAUCAAAAUUAUGAUUUUAAAAUUUUAAAUUAUAUAUUAAUAUGUCAUUUAGAUUUAUUUCUUAAAUUUUUAUUAUUUUUAAAAUAAAUAAUAAUAAUAAUUUUUAUAUAAAAUACAAAUUACGUUUUUAAAAAUAAUUAUAAAAAAUAAUUUUUGAAAACAGUUUUUAAAAAUUAUUUUUUAUUUAUGUUUUAUAGAAUUUUUGUCUAUUUGAAAACCUAAAAUAUUUUUAAUUUAUUUUUAAUAUUUUUAUGUCUAAAAUUUUAUUUUUAAUCAUUACAAAUAUUUAUAUUAUUAUUUUUUAAAAUUAUUCUUAGAAAAUAAUUAAAAUAUAUUUUUUUUUAAAUAUCAUUUUUUGCUAUUAAGAUAAUAAAAUAAAAAUUAGUUUUUUUUGUUAACAAACAUAUUUUUCUAAUUUUUUAUUUUAAAAAAUAAAAAAAUAUAUUCUUAAAAAUAGUUGUCAAAGACUUUUAACUAUUAAAAUCUAUUUAAAAAAUUAAGACAUUAAAAAAAAUUAUCCCCUUAAUCUUCAAUCUUCUAUUAUACUUCUUGUUAAAAUAAUAUAAAAACAUGAUACAUACUCAAAAUUUAAAAUUUAAAAGUAACUUUUAAGUACAUAAAGACACAUUCAUAUUUUCAUAUAAAAUUUAUUAUUUUUCAACUUUUAGAAACAAUAUAAAAUAUAUCAUAAGUAUAAAUUGUCUUUAAUGGGAUAUUUAAUUAAAAUAAAAAUAAUAAUAUUUAAGUCAAAAAUAUGAUUUUUUUUAUUUUUUAAAAUAUUAAAAACAUGAAAUAUGAUUUUUUUUUUUUUUUUAAAUAUUCUCCAUUUAAAAAAAUUGUACUUUUUUAAAUUUUUUGGAAGAAGUUUAUAGGAUAAGAUAUUCCUUUCUGAAAAUGAUUUAUGAUGUAAAUAUGAUAAUUUCAAAUAUGUCAGUUUUAAUUUAUUUAUAAAAUAAAAUUUUCGACGUGUACAAAACAUUAUUUUAUUGGGUGGACGGUGGCUUGCUUUUAGUGCAAAGAGGUGCAAGGGAAUAUUGAAAAGGAUAGGCAUCUCAUCUGUUAUUAUCACCUUAUUUUUUUAUUUUUUUAUUAUUGUUUGCCAUUAUAAUAUUGGUAUUAUAUUAAUAUGUAGUGAGAGAAAGACGUGACAAAAAAAAUAAGGGACCAUCACUAGAUUGAAAAGUUUGUGAUCAGGAUGACUCGGACGUCUUCUUAUAUAAAAUAUGUUUGUUGUAUUCAUGAGAGUGGAGUUUGUAACAGAGAAAAUGAGAAGUAUACUUUUGGGUAUAGAUAUUUGAAGUUGCUCAGUCGAUUGUAAUUUCACACAGGUUUGAAAAAUGGUCAUCUUACGAACCUUCUCUAGGCGUCAACACCUUAUUUGUGGAAAAAUAGGACAACCAAAAUCUAUUACGUGACCUAAUAAGAAACUUCUAUUAAUAAAAAUAUCCAUAUUUCAUGAUAUAUAAUGAGAUUUUGAAAAUAGGUGAUUGGUUGGAUUAAUUCAAUAAAUAAAUAAAAUGGAGUUGACCAUCCAUUAAUUAAAUUGUUUUUUUAUUCAUUGUAAAUGAUUAAAAUAAAAAAUAAAAAAUAAAAAAAAUUUAUUUAAUUUUAUUAGAUGUUUGACUUGUCAUUUGAUAUUAAUUCUUCGUAUAUCAUUUGAUGACGACGAUGGUGGUGAUAAAAAUAAAAAAAAUAAUGAUUUUAAAAUUUAUUUUUAAAUCAUUAAAAUAUAUAAAAAAAUUAUUAUUAUUUUAAAAGUAAUUUUAAAGGUACAUGAUUUUUUUUUUACAAAAUAUUUUAUUUUGUAUAAAAAAAUUUGUUUUAGAAAUAAAUGCAAAUACUUUUAUUUUGUUAAAAUAUAAAAAUAAAAAAAUAAUGAUUUUAAAAUCUAUUUUUAAACCAUUAAAAUAUAAAAAAAUUAUUAUUUUAAAAGUAAUUUUAAAGGUAUAUGAUUUUUUUUUUUUACAAAAUAUUUUAUUUUGUAUACAAAAAUUUGUUUUAAAAAUAAAUGCAAAUACUUUUAUUUUGUUAAUAUUUUAUUUUUUAUGAAAAAGGAAAAGGUCAAAAAGAAAAAGUGGAAAGGAAGUUGGACUCCAUCUACGUGGAUCAUUGAUGUUGUCUCCUUUCACCAAAGUCACUUUUUUUUCCUUCCUUUCCUCCUCUCCAAAUCCAAUAUGCUGUUUUUUUUCAUACUACUAUAUUGAUAUAUACUCAACUAUUGUGAACACUAUUUUACAAUAUUAAAAAAAAAAUGAUGUCCCAUUUCAUAAAUCACUUUCAACAUAUAAGAUAUGUUAUUGUCACUAAAGUUGAAAGGGUUGUUGGACCACCAUUUAGAAUAAAGAAAAAGAGGUAUUUAUUCUCCAAAUUUGAUGCCUCUAUCAUUGUUGCAUCUAUGUUUAAUCUCUAAUAGCUAUUAAAAUUAUACAUGAUUUAUUUCCUAUUAAAUUUUAAUGUAAAAGUAGGGCAUCUUUAAUAUCUUAAAAGAUUUUCAAAGAAUUAAAUGUAUAUUUAUUUUUAAAUUAAUUAUAAAAUUCACCUCAUCUCGAUUUAGUUUUUAUUUUUUUUAAGUAAUUUCAAUCUUAAACUAUACCCAAAUAUUAAAUAAUUUCUCUUUGUCAUGAUUUUUUUUUUUUUUUUUUUGUUAGAAAUAACCAAAAAGGUAUCUAUGAUAAAUACUAUACAUUACACAUGAUAUGGCAGAAAUGGAGUCUUAUGAUUUUUCAAAUUUACCAAAAAGACUCAAAAGAGCACUUAGGCACUCUUCAAAACUUUUAAUUACCCUAUUAUAUUUUACCUUGCCAAUACACUCACCAAAAUGUCUCAUUCUAUAGUGACUUAGUGACUAGUUUGUCACUCAAUGUCAAUGAACUUUUCAAGUCAAAAAAUUCUAUGAAAGUACAUAAUCAUGGAUUAAAAUAUUGGAAAAGAAUUGUUAACAUGUGUCUAUCUAAUCUAGCUUAUCAACAAAUUGUUGAUGGUUAUGUUCCCCAAAAUGUAGGAUUGGGGUAAAUGCAAUUUUUUAGAAUUCUAGGAUUGUAAGAAGGUUCAAAAUAGAUGUUUUAAAGAAGAAAUGCUAACAUGGAAACCAAAAAAAAAAUGCUAUGUUAGAAUGGGAAUUAACGAAGUUACAAAACCUCUACAUGUCUUUCUUCUUAUUAUGAAGACUCAUUGUAUCAUUUCAUUUUAUUUUUUUAAGUAACUCAAGUGAUAGGUAAGAAAUUUCCUCUUAUAAAGUCAAACAAGAAUUUAUAAACUAUAAUGUUAAGAGUCAUUCCAAUGAGGAACAAUCCCUCCAAAAAUAGUUGUAUGCCACCAUAAGAGGUGAGCACAUAGUAUUCUUUAGUAAAAAGAGAAAGAAUAGUUCGCUCUAUGCUCACCACACAACUCCUUGCAUUCGGUUGUCAAUAGAUUUCAUGUAUUGAGAUAUUGUAGGUACUACUAUUUUCCUCUUUUUUUCAAUGUGGGACAUCUUCUUACAUGUGACCCUUUUAGCUAUGAGUUCACAUUCUUCAUUGCUAACCCGAUUUCACACUCUUGCUAAAGUGAAGCAAGCGGAUUAGUUUUUUUUUUUUUUUUUUUUAUGUAAUACUAUUGAUUUAGUGCAAGUUUCAUUAUCACAUAAUGUUUCAUGCCAAUAACUUGUCUAUGAGAUUUUUUUCACUCCCAAAGAAGAUUCAUCUUGCUUGAAGUGUAGUUUAUGUAUAUGGGAAGUGGCCUAUAGGCUGAUAUUGAUACUAAUAUUUGGGAUGAAAUGUCCAAGAAGGAUAUGAAUCAUCGAGUAUUGGGAUAAUUGGAGGAAGACAGAGGCCUAGUUUGACUCCAAUUGUCUUCAUUUCUCUUGUUUAUGUAGAUAUGAUAUUUUAGAUUUACAAAUCAUAUUCAUGGUUAUGUUGGAAGAAAAGGUACCUAAAAUAUAGGACUCUAAGGAAAGGUCAAUUCAUUAUCAGUUGGACACCCCGUCAAAGUGUGGUAUCUUGGAAUUCCAUAAUUGAUGGCUAAAUUCCAAAUAAGUCUUUUGAGGUAGAAAUCAAAAGUUGGUGGAAAAUGGGACGGAAGCCAUGAGUGUCAUUGUGGAAGCUGUUAGGAUAGAGCCCUUAAAAGCAUGACAUGAUGUUAUAAAUUUGGAAUUCAUUAUUUAUUUAAUGAUGUUUCAGUUUCACUUUUAUCUAUCCUUAUUACAUGUAUUAUACUUAUGAGCAUUAUUGCCUACAUCUUUUACAUUGUACGUGACCUAGGUGCAUUAGGAGUUGUAUAGAAGAUCUAAGUUAUGAGUUCCUUGUAAAUAAAUGACUUAUGAGCAUUAUUGCCUACAUCUUUUACAUUUUUGAGGAGAUGUUGGAUGAGAUUGGUUGACACUGCUAAGAUAGCCAUCAUGGGACCAUGUCUAACCUUCUUUAUUAAGCUAGUUGUCUCAUUGUGACUUGAUAUUUUGUUUAAAAAGAUUAAUAUUGAGUUAGGAGAUUAGUGUUUUUGGUGUCUCACUUUUUAAACUAGAUCAAGAGUAGGUGAGUACUAAGUACUAUUUGCUAUAUCAACACUAAGUACAUGACACCAAUUGAAAACUCAAUGUAAAAGAUGCCUAUGAUGAAAAAAAUGCUUAAUUCCAUCUGAGAACUUGGCUAUUGUCUUUGAACUAAAUACAUGUUUGUGUGCUUCCAUAAACAUCUAAAAGAACAUUUGGGUUUAUAGUGGUUGUCAUAACAAGACUAAAUUAUGUUUUACUCACAAUGGAAUGGAAUAGGAAAUCAGUGUGGGAUAUUUUACUAUUCCAUCAUUUUAAAGAUUGGACUUGUUCUUAUGGAACCUAUUGGAAAAUUGUUACCUACACAUGUUUUUUGGUUUCUAUGCUAUCGUCCAUGUAAGAAUUCCAUGGAAUAUGUUAUUGGAUGUAGAUACAUUAAGUUUUUGAAGUAAGGUUUUUGAUUAUAUUGAAAUGUUAGAAUGUCAAGUUGUUAUUGCAAAUAAUGUUCAAACUAGCUGAAGUCAAGAGUUUGAAUAACAAAGGGUGUACAAUAUUCUAAAGUCUUUCCGGCUACCGUUUUACUAAACAAAGGAUUUUUUGAAAGUUAGAUUUAGUUGUUCUUUUUCUUCCUUAUCAUUGUAUAUAGCCUUUGUCUAGUAAAUAUGGGAUUCAUAGUAUGUCCUAGCAGACAAUAGCUACUUGCUUGGUUUUGAUAUGGAAUAUGAGGCCUAAGAAAUAAGAGACUUUGAUGGAUUACAGGUUUGGUAAAGUUAAUCCAUAAAUAAUGGGUCCAAGUCCCUUCUCUUACGCAUUGGAAUCCUAUCAAAGCUUUGCUUCAAAUAGAAAACUAUAGAUUCUCAUGUUCUGCAAAUUUAAUGUUUGAAGAUAUAUGAUAAAGGUCUCUUUUUCCUUUAAUGAUCCAAUUGACAUAGGUAUGUUUGAAAUCCAUUUUGCAAGUAGUAUGUUUGAGGUUCUUCUUUGUUUCUGCAUGUAUAAAUUUGUUGCAAGGUCGUUUGCAUAUGUAUUGGUUUAGUAGAAAUUGUCCUUAGUUGUCUCAAUUUUUUCACCAUGCUAUAAUCCCUAUUGGUUCAAAGAGAGAUGUUUUCUAGUGUUGUGUGGGGAGUUACCAAUAAACAUGACAACUAUUAUUGAACUUAAAAAGACUAUAAUCUCAAAUCCUAAUUAACCAUGGAAAUGGACUUAAAAAGGCUGAGAACAAUCCGUUAAAAAUCAAAUUGAAAAGUGGUCUAAUUUGAUUUCGGUGUGAUUUUUCAUAUGAUACCUCUAAAGUCAUGCUACGGAUCUAAAAGUUUGUUCAACACAACUCAUUAUUCCUUAUUAGUAGGAUGUUAUCAACAUAGACCAAAAGGUAAAUGAUCUUGCCAUCUGAAUUGAAAAUGAAGAGAGAUAUGUCAAACCUUGAGUUUUGAAAACCAAAUUAUAUUAAAGUAGUUCUUAAUUUAUCAAACCAUGCUUCAGGGGUCUUUUUCAAUCCAUAUGAGUUUGCAUAUGUGGUAUGGUUUUAAGGAAUCAACAUCCUUAAAGUUAGACCAUGUAAACCACCUCUUGAAAAGCGUCAUUUAGGAAAAUAUCGUUUACAUCCAAUUAUUUGAUGUCCCAAUUUCUUGAAAUAAACACCAUUAACACUAUUCGAAUGAUUGCAACUUUGACUUUUUGGCUAAAGAUCUCUUUGAAAUCAAUUGAUCCAAGUGUUUAGUAGAAUAUUUUAGCUGCUAACCUAGCUUUAAGUCUUCCUACACUUCCAUUAGGAUCGAGUUUUAGCUUGAACACUUAUAUGUUUCCAACCAUAUUGCAUUGUGGUAAAGUACAAGGCCCCAAGUAUGAUUUUGGAUCAAGACACCAAAUUCUUCAUCCAUUGUCUUCUUCUACCUUGGAAAAGCUAAAACAUUUUGUACGCAAAUUGAUUUACUAUCAAUUUAAAGGAUAUUAGGUGGUUAUUUUGAAGAGUUUAAAUGGUUGGUUGCAUAAACUUUUAGUUUGAAAAUGUUAUUAUUUUAUCAUGUUUACAUAAGAUGUCUAAACUAGUUUUGUAGAAUUGGUGAUAUUUGAGAUUCAAGUAAUUAAAUUUGUUUAAGGGUGAUUGGAAUAGACUAGAUGAGUGGCUAAUUUGGUGUUAAGGAUUGUGGAGAGGCUGCAAUUUCUAUACUUUGAGAGAAUAAGGUUAUACGAACUGGAGUUAAAGGUUGGUUUUCGUUUGCAGGAGCUGAAACUAAAGGCUAGCUCUUAUUUGUACUCUCUUCAUUACAUACCUGAGACUACAUUAAUUUUUCUUUAGAUUCUAAGAUGGACCAUUCUCUAAAAUAUCUAAAAAUUGAUAGGUAAUGUAUGAUUGUGUUAAGGGGCUUAACUUUUCAAUUCUACGAAAACCAAAAAAAAAAGAAUUCAUUUUCAUUGAACAUAACAUGCUGAAAAAUAAAAAUUCUACCACUAGGAUAAAGACAUAGGUACCCUUUGUGAGAAUUGUUGUAGCUUAGGAAGACACACUUGGUUGUGUGGAAUUGGAAUUUGGUGGAUUGAAAUGGCCUGAGGUAAGGGAAGCAAGAACACCUGAAAGUUUUAAGAAAAAAGUAACCUAGUUUUCUUUUAUAAAGUUUUUCUAAUGGGAACAAAAAAAAAAUUAAGAUUGGUAUAGGCAAGCAAUAUAUAAGGUAGAUAAAGGUCUAGAAAACCUCUCACCAAAAUCUCAAAGGCAUAAAGGCUUGAGUAAAAAGGGUCAAACUCAGUUUUACAAUGUGUUUGUUUGAAUAGGGAAAUGUUGAAUUCACUAGUUAUGCCUAACAUGUGGAAUGAGUGCAUAAGGAUGUCAUGCUCAACCUAUGUUUCCAAUAAAAAUUAUUUGUUCUUGCAUAUCUUUGCUCUUGACUAUGUGGCCAAGGAUGUUGAAAUACUACUCCAUUGUUCUUAAAAUAGUUCUCAAAAGAUCUAUACUCAUUACUCUAAUAUGAUUCAAGUUUCUUUAUUUUUAGUGUCCAAAGUUUUCUUAAUUUGAUUGUUCUUAAAAUAGUUCUCAAAAGGCUUAUUCUCAUUACUCUAAUAUGAUUGAAGUUUCUUUAUUUUUAGUGUCCAAAGUUUUCUUAAUUUGGUUUUUGAAAAAGAUAAAGGAGCUUAGAACUUCAUCUUUAGUUUGAAAAUGAUAUAUCUAAGUGUAUUGAGAGAAAUCAUCUAUGAAGUGAAUAUAAUAUUUGUAUUCGAAAUUUGAAACAAUUAGAGCAAGGCCUCAUUUAUCUCUAUGGAUUAGCUUAAGUAGUGAAGAAGUUUGAGAAAAAAAAGAGUUGAAAAUGAUUUUUUUCAAAUUGGCAAGCAUUAUAAAAGUUAAGUUUUCCAUUGAUUGAAUUAUCUAGAUUACAAGAUUUCUAGACAUGACUCGACUCUACUAGAUGGAUGACCUAACUUUCUAUGUAAGACAUUGGAGCUAAUUGAAUCAAAGAAGAUAAGACAUUAGACAUCAACUUUUCUUUUUUACUCUACUAAACUUAACCUAAUAAAAGUGAUGAUUGAUGGAUUCAAAUAGGAAUGAACAACUGACUUUGUAUGAUUUUUAGCCUCUAGAAUAUGCAGUUUAUAGAGGCAACCUUCAAGUUUCCUUUCCAAGAACACUUGGGUUUUUCUUGUCCUUCACCAAACAAACAUUAAAAUAAAAUUCAACAAAUAUUCUAUUAUUAGUCAUUAAAAAGGAAAUACUUAACAAGCUCUUUUUAAUCUAAGGAACCAAUGGUAUAUUUCUCAAAUAAAAAUGAGAGGAUAGAAAAGGUAUUUCAAUAUGACCAACAUGAGUAAUAGGAAGUUUAUUACCAUUGUCAAUUACAAGUUUGUUUUCACCAUGAUAGUAAGAUUUUAGAGAGAAGUUACUCAAUUUAGUACUAACAUGGUUAGUAGCUCCACUAUUAGUGUACCAUGAUUGGUGAGAGACUAAAUCAGCUAUGGCAACGAAUACAAAAGCCUAAUUGUUUUUUAUGAGCUUAAAAAGCAUAAUCAAAGCAGUAAUAGCAAUGACGCGUAGGUAAAACACUAUUUCCAAUGCCUUCCACAUCUCAUGAGUUGUUGAGAAGUCUACUACCUUAAGUAAAACACACUUUGAUAUUGAGGAUAAUAACCAAUACAAUAAUUUUUGAUAGGUUAGGUUGAUGUUGAAUAUGGUUUCACCAGGCUUUGUCGUUGCAGGGAUGAGCUUCUUUGGGAUGGGUAGCUUCCCAAAUAAAUAAAUAAUUGUUUAAGUCAUGCCCUUUCACAACUAGAAUGACAAUAAAUUCCACAUCAAAAAUUUGUUCCAAUCUAGUUUUAUCAAAGAGUUAAAGCUUAUGAUAUUGCCAAACAGAGACUUGUUACCAACAAUAAAAGAUUGAGAUAAGGUAGUAGUGUUAAUGGAUUUGAGUCCAUCGUUGUCGUUGAUAUAGAGAGAGAGACAAGAAUCUGAGUCAACCAUAAUUUAUAUUGAUGGUGCAUGUUUGCUUUGAUAUUAAGAAAUAAAAAAAUAGAGCAAAGAGAAUUCUGGGUCUGAAUAUGGUUGAGCAUAAAAAUAGUAUACCAUUGCACAUUCUAUUUAUAUGACUAAGAGGAUAUAUAAGGGUUUCUACACCACAAAAACCACGUACAAAAGGUUUUGUAUAGGUAUAGAACCUUCAUUUUGUUUCCUUAACACAUGCGCUAUUAAGUGCUCUUUUAGUACUCCAUAGUAGUUCCUUGGUAACCCAUUGCUACUCAUACAACCUACAUUUUUUAGCUACCUUGGAAACUCUAGUCUAGAGAUUGAUGUAGUCACUCAUUGUGACCAUUGGCAACCUCAGGUUAUAUCUAGUGUUUUUUUUUUCCUUUUUAUUUUAGGUUAGCCUUUUUAGGGAAACAUGCUUAGGCAUUUUCUAGGACACCAUUCCCACUUAGGCCUAUCUAGGCCCACCUAGGCCCAUUUAGACACCUCCUUAGGUUGGAUUCCACUUAGUUCACUAAGAACUUUUUCCUUUUAGGUCACUUAGGCACAUUUUAGGUAAGUCCACCCAACUCACUCAGGUUCACUUAUAUAGAUUCUUUAGGCUUUGCACUUAGGUUUGUUUCUUAAGUUGUGAUUGCAUGAUUGUGAGUUUAAGUGAGUAUUUGACUUGAAUUUUUCGGUUUAUUUUUUUUUGGUUUUUUUGUUGCGUGAAUUGAAUUUUCAAUAUCUAGUCAUGUGAUUUUGAUGUUUCAUUUUUUUUUUUAUAAUUAAUUACACUAGACUAACAUUUGAAUUUUGAUUGCAAUGUUUAGUGUCUAUAUUAUUAUUAUUAUUAUUUUUAUCUAAUUUUUUAUAUUUACUAUCUAUUUAUUUAUGUGUUAGAAAAUUGCAUGAGGUUAAUUUUUUUUUUUUCCAAAUAUUUCAUGAAUUGAUAUUCAAAUUUCCUUAUAAAUGAGCUUGGGUUAUUUUGUUUUAAUUGAGUUGUGGGUAUUUAGAUUUUAAAUUGUAGGCUUAGGUUAUUUUAUUUUAAUUGGGUUUGGGUUGUCAUUCCUCAUUUUGGGCUUUGUUUGUUUUGCAUGGGCCCAUGAGGUUUCUUGGAAAUGAAUUCUUGAAUAUUGUAUUUAAAGGGCACACAAGCCCUAGGCAAAAAAAAAAAAAAAGUCCAAAUAGAAAAGAUGGUCAUCCAUGUGUUUUUUUUUCUUGUUGUAUUCGUAUCUUAGAGUUUUACCUUUGAAGGCUUGGUGGAGAGCCAUGAUUGAUUUUGAACUACAUUCAAGUGAGUUAUUUCUUUCUCAUCUCUUUCUUUGUAUUUUGUUUCUAUUCUUUUUAGGAUUUCUUAGAUUUAUAUUGUUUCAUAUAUAUUAUAUUUGUGAGCAUUUUGAUAGUUAAGUAUUUUAUAUAUCUCUUUUAUUCAAUUCUCUACCUAUUUUGAUUAUCUAUUCAUUGUACUCUAUAUCUUGUAUGUAUGCACAUUCGUCUAAUUUUUUUCUAUUCAUCCAUAUAUUUGUCAUUUUUAUUUAUUAUUUUGUUGAUAUAUGUUACUGUGUAUUGUAUUUUGUUUCAAGUUUUCUAUAUUUGUGUAAUUUAUGUCCUAAAUUUUCCAUAAGUCCGUGGAUGCUAGUUAUGUUAGUCUUGUUACCUUAUAUUUCAUUUUGUCUUAAAUUAUCUAUAAUUAUGUUUAUGUUAGUCUCGUUACCUCAUCUAUCUUAAUUUCUCUAUAAUUUUGUCUAUGUUAGUCUUGUUGCCUCAUAUUUCAUUAUGUCUUAAAUUCUUUGUAAUUCUAUUUAUGUUAGUCUUUUUGACUCAUAUUUCAUUCGUUGUUAUGUUUAGAUUUUAAUUUAUUUUUCUUGCUUGAGUUAUUAUUUAUUGUAUUAAAUAAAUUUUCUAGAAAAAUCAGUUUAAAUAAAAUUUCCCAAAAAAUAAUUUUUAAGAAAUUUUAAAACAAUUUUCUUUAAUAAAUAAUCUAGAAUUUAGCUUUCCAUAAAGUGUAGAAAUUUAUUUUUUCCAAUAACUUGAAAUUUUGGCUCUUUUUAAUAAAUCGGGAAAAUUGUCUUUAAUAAAAAUAGUACAAAAAAUAUUUUUUUAAUAAAAUGCAGAAAAUCUGUUUUGAUAAAAUAAGUUGGAAAAACUAUUUUUACUAAAUUCAAGAAUUUGGUUUAAUAUAAAACAAUUCAAAAAAUCAUUUUUAAUAAAUUCAUAAAAUUCCUUUUUAAAUAAAAUAAUUCAAGAAAUUCGUUUUUUAUAGUAUUCAAAAAUGAUUUUUAAUUUAAUAAUCCAAAAAUUCAUUUUUUAAUAUAUCUAUAAUUUUUUUUAAUAAAAAAUCCUCAAAGUUUGUUUAAUGAAAAUUAUGAAAAUUGUGUUUUAAUAAAUAUCCUUUAGAAAUUUGUUUUUUUUUAAAUAAGCUUGUUAAUUGAAAUUUGUGUUUUAAUAAAUGUUUUUAGAAAUUUGUUUUUUUUAAUAAGUUUGAAAAUUCUAUGUCAUUGACAUAAAACAUAAUAACAAUAAAAUAAUUUGCGGGAGCCUUUGUGUAAAAAGAAAAAUUGACUUUUGACUAAAGGUAUCUUACAACAAGUAAAACACUUAAUGAUUUAACGAACCACUAGUGAGAUGCUUGCUUAAGACUAUAGAAAGACUUAUGGAGUUUACAAAGUCAAGUCUCUAAUUUUCGAAGAAAACUAGGUGGAAUUUACAUAUAAAUAUUUUCAUCCAAGUCAUUAUGAAGAAAUGCAUUAUUGACAUCAAGAUGAUGAAUAUGCUAAUUUUUUAUAGAUAUAACAACUAUAAGAGCUUUAACAACGAUUAACUUCACGACAAGGAGUAAAAGUAUCAUGGAAAUCAAGCCCUUCUUGUUGACUACAACCUUUAGCAACAAGGCAAGCUUUGUAGUAUUCAACUAUACCAUCAAACUUGUAUUUUUCAUAAACCCACUUGCAAUCAAUUGUACUUAUUUCAAGAAGGAUUUGAACUAGACUUUAAACUGUAUUUGACUUCAGAGCAUAAAUUCUAGAAGCCAUGGCAUCACAUCAUUUUGAAUCUUAAACAGUUAUGUUUAAAAGAUUUAGGUUAUAAUAAGGAAGAAAUGACUAUACUAAAAACACAAUGAGUAUAAUAAAAUAAAGCAUAUGGUAAGUAACAAAAUGAAGGGUAUGAUGUGUUUACUGGGGGGCAUCUCUCGAGCAAGAUAAUUAGUUGCAAAUAGUAGCCAUACCCAAAUGGAAAUCCUUCAAAAAAAGUGGGUUAAAGAAGAGAGCAAUAAGAAUUAGAGAUGAAGUACAUGUGAUGGUGGAGUGCUAGAUGAUGGUGAGGAACUAGAUGGUAAGAGAAGGAAGUCAACAAAAUUUGUUGGUGGUAAAGAAAGUAUUGGACUAGAAGGAGGGUUGAAAUUCAUCUAAGAAAAAUAUAAUAUGUUCUCAUGAAAAAUAACAUCACGUAAAACAAAUGUAGCAUCAUUUUCAAGAUCACAAAGCUUGUAACCUUUUUGGCCAUAAGGAUACCUAAUAAAUAUAUAUCAUUUGGCUCAUGGAUCAAAUUUAUUUUGCUUUAAAGCAUGGGUGGAAGCAUAACAAAGACAACAAAAAACUCUCAAAUGGAUAUAGGAAGGUUUGAAGGAAAAAAAACAUUUCAUAAGAAGUUGGCAAAAAAAUCAGUUAUGACAUUCUAUUAAUCAAAUAUGUAGCAGUAAAAAUAUAAUAACCCUGAAAUUUAAGUAAAAGAUGUACUUGAAAAUGUAGAGCAUGAGCAGCAUUAAAAGGGUGAUGAUGUUUGCAUUCAACAACUCCAUAUUGUUGAGGAGCGUUUACACAACUAUGUUGAUGGAUAAUUUAAUUCUCACCAAAGGAAGUGGUCAUGCCAAAUUCAUCCUUGUUAUUUGAUUGAAUUUCUUUUUUACUCAUCGAUCAAACUAGUUGUUGAUAAGCAUGAUGAAACAUUAUACAGGAGAAAGAAUUAUAAAUUUGUGGAACAUAAGAUUGGCCUAUGUAGCACAAUUAUAAUCAUCCAACAAUGCUAAAAAUAUUUUGCACCAGAAAAAGACUCUAUAUGAUAACCUCCCUAAAUAUCAAAAUGAAUUAGUUUAAAUAGAGCAUGAAUGGAAAUACAAUUAAGAGGAGAAGAUAAAUUAGUUUGUAUAGCAAAAGGGAAAACAUCAUAUUGUUGAAAAUAUGAAGUAUUUAUUCACAACAUUUAGAAGAAAAAGGUGUUUCAAAAUUACAGGUUAAGAUGUGAUAUAUAAACCAUUAUGUUUUUCACUUUUACAAAUCAUCUUUCUCAAGCACGUGUGAGUUUACUAACAAAAAUGAGAUUAAAAUGAAAAAAAAGGUACUCAAAGAACAUUACAAAGGAUAAGGCAUAACCUUCAUGAAAUUUUUUUUAUUAUGCAUUACAAAAGUAAGACAAUUAUCAGAAAGUUUAAUAAUAGAAGAAAGAUUUGAUGUUAUAAAAUAAAAUAAAAAGUCACAAAAUUCACAACAUUAUUAGUUGUACCAUUUUCUAUUAUCUAAAAGGUAAUAUGAAAUGGAGAAAAAUUCAAACAAAUACUUGAUAGGUUAGUAGCGGAAGAACUGUUACCUAUUUGGUUUGCCAUGACUUAAGGCUUAAUGACAAAAAGUAACUAUUAAACUUGUUUAGGUGUAAAAGGUGAUGCAACAAAGUUGUUUCUAGGGGAUUUUUCAUCAAAAUGUGAUUGUUGUGCUACUUGGUUAACAAUUGGUUGAGAAUUCUUUUUAUGAAGACAAUGUUCACGAGGGGUAUCCAUAAACUUCAUAGCACUUGUCAAUUAUAUGACCAACCCACUCACAAUAAGCAUAGGUGAGACUCUCCUUUUUGAAAAUUUGAUUCCUAAUUGUAUCGCUUUCUUGCCAAUCGGUUUUGCUAUUGGGUUAUUAAUGAAGUUGUUUCAAUAGUAGGUUGUCUUGUUGCGAUAACAUUUCUUUAUCUCUCUUCUUUCAAAAUAAGAGGACAUGCUCGAUUCACAAAAGGAAAAUAAUCCAUAGGUAAAAUUUGUCCAUAGAUUACAACAUACAAGUUAUUUAAAUACAUUAAAAAUUGUAUAAGAUGUUACUUUACAAGUACCCUUCGAGCAAAGCAUGUACAAGUGGGAAAAAAAUUGGAAAUUUGCAAGUUCAUCCCAUAAGGCUUUUUAGGCGUAUAUAACAAGUGAUAACAAUUAUUGAUCUUGUUUGAGGGAAAUGAUUUCUCUUUCAAUUUGAAAAGUCCAGGAACAUUUAGUUGAACAAAAAACUCAUUGAGAUUAUACCAAAUUUCAACUCCAAUAUCUACAUAAAUAUAGCCUUAGAUAAAUAAUUUAGAAUCCAAGAUUUUACCAUGUUAUUACAAUGAUCCCAAAGACUACAAGUCUGUUUAGCUGUGUGAUUAAAAAACAAUUUUGUCUUUUAAAAAAUAAAAAAUUAUUUUUAAAAUUUCAUGAAAUUAUUUGGCUAUUGUUCUCUAUUUCUAGUUUUUAAAAAUAAAGUGAAAUAAAAAACAAUUUUUAAAGAACAAGUAGAAGUUAUUUUCACAAAUUUUUAAAAACAAAAGGAAAACAUAAAGGAAUUAAAAAACCAUAAAAGCAAAUAAAAUUGAACAUGAUAUCAUUCUUUUUUCUCUCCAUAAUCCAAUACCAAUACUAAAAAUAUUCAAAUAUGAUAUAUAUCUAUAUAGAUAUAUAUAUAUAUAUAUAUAUAUAUAUAUAUAUAUAUAUAUAUAUAUAUAUAUAUAUAUAUAUAUAUAUAUAUAUAUAUCUAUAUAUAUAUAUAUAUAUAUAUAUAUAUAUAUAUAUAUAUAUAUAUAUAUAUAUAUAUAUAUAUAUAUAUAUAUAUAUAUAUAUAUAUAUAUAUAUAUAUAUAUAUAUACCCAUAUAUAUGUAUGUUUAUAUACAUAUAUAUAUAUAUAUAUUUAUAUAUAUAUAUAUAUAUAUAUAUAUCCAUAUAUAGAUAUAUAUAUAUAGAUAUAUAUAUAUAUAUAUAUAUAUAUAUAUAUGCUCCAGGCACGGACGUGUGUGAGCCCCCCCCGCUCGCCCAUGUUGGUGGUUGGGGAGGAUGACAUGCCUCUAAAAGAGGCACAAUGAAGCAGGUGGUGGCUUACGGGAGAAGACAGGAAUAGGUGGGGGGGGGGGGGGGGGGAGAGAGAUAUAUAUAUAUAUAUAUAUAUAUAUAUAUAUAUAUAUAUAUAUAUAUAUAUAUAUAUAUAUAUUUUAGGAGGAAAGUUUAGCUUAGGAGGGGGGACUAGGGAUUUUUUUUAGCAGCUCGGAAGGAAAACAUGGGGAAUGGAGAUAUUUCAGGGGCAUUUUUUUUUCUCUGGCUUAAGAGGUCACAAAAAGGGUGAGGCUACCAGAGAGAGAUUAUAGAGGGAACAAGACAAGCUAGAGUGGGGGAGUACAGGGGAACAUUUUCUUUUCUUGAAGAGCAACGGAAGAUGGGGUCACGGAUCAUCAGGUAAAACCACCUUGAGCUUGAAUGGUUUCCGUUUAUGAAUGUUCUGCUUCAUUCUUUGUUGAUUUCUGAGGAUUGUUUGUUGUUUGUUUGGUUGACCAUGUUUAUUUGCAUAUAAUGCUCUGUUUUUUUUUUUGUCCUCGUUGAUACUUUUGUUUUUCCUCUGUAAAAUGAUUGGAUUCUUUUUUUGGGUUUAGGUUUGAUGUUUGAUGGUAAUAUUAAAGAUUUCCUGUUUGUCCCACCUGUUUUAAUCUCACAUAUCGUUCAUGAAAUGCAGCUUCGCCUAAUAUUUCUUGGGUCUCAUCGUUCUUACCCUGUUUUAAGCGAUCUCAUCCUUCACACCUAUCUGCUUCCAUGUUACUAGUUGUGGAGUAUUUUGGUUCGUAUAUCAUCACCCAAAAGCUCUUGCUUAUGGGGCGCAAACUGUGGUUAUAAAGUCCUUGUCACAAACAAUAUAUUAAAGAAUACCUUGAGCAAUUGUUUGAUCUUUGGGAAAAAUAAGCUAUCUAGAGAGGGUUCUAGCAUACAAGUCAACUGCUAAAGACAUAUUGAUCAAAUGUCAUGUGCUGGCCAAAACGCAUAGGGCAGCAAUCACUCUGUACCAUAACGCAAUUGUCAACUAAGUGACUAUUGGCUGUGACACGACCAUUCUUUCCAUAUCUCAUGCUCACGUUGGUGUAGAAAGAGCAUAGGCCAAGGAUGUGAUUGAAAUGGCAAUUUAAAAUGAAUGGGUUAUAUACUGCCAUGUGAGAACAUGUGGGAAAAUUUCACUGCCGCUCAAAACCGCUGGCCGAAAUCUGGAGAUUUCAUUCGUUCUUUAAGUGUAAUGUUGUGCAUGGCACGUAACACACAUGUUGACAGCCAAAUUCAAACGCAUUUGGAUUGGAGAUAAUGUCACGGCUAGCAAUAUAUCUUCCAAACACUAGCCAUAGAAGCAAUACCUAGCAUUAGUGAUUCGUUCCCAAUUGGUGUCUCAGCUGAUUCAUGUCCUCUCAAUGGUCCCUGACAGUGGUGCCAUUUGAUUCGUGUCCAACUGGUGUCCCUUGAUUUUGGUCCUCAAGGAGUAAUCAACAACAUUUAUAACCUAUUACACCAUGAACUAGGGUAGCAAAGACAAAGCUACUAUAGCAUAGUGGCUCUAAGAUCGUUCACUGGGAUGGGUUUUCACUUCACAAUUGAUAUUAAUUCAAAGCUGAAUUGGUGCCUUUUCAUUUCAAGGUUAGCUUUAAAAGAAAACAUAAUCUUUGGUAGAAAAGGUUGGUUUUAAGCUAACAAAAAAUAAUAACUGAUUUUAAUUACAAAGAAAAGUGUUUCUUGGAGUUUCAGAUCACUAGGCUCAGAUUCCUCAUACAAAAAGGGAGUUCCGGUCACUUCUUUAUUUUCCUCGCAUUGGGGAUUUAACAUAUAGUUAUUUCCCGAACCGGUGUUGUACAGAUGCUUCCCAUUAAUGGGUUCAAACACUAAAUCCCUCUCACUGAUGCAUCUUGCAAUGACUCAUACCUCUCACCUAGCACUUGCCAUUCAAGGUGAUCUUUAACCUUGGAUUACCCGUCAAAAGCUCACAAGAGAUAACUAAUGGAUGUCUCCUUGGAGUCCAAAAGCUUACCAAGUGUUGGCUAUUCUAGAAAAUCCUACCUUCAAACCACCUCCCAAAGGCUCGCAAGAGAUAAACUAGUGCAUCUCAAUGGAUUGAGAUCACUUGCCUUACCAAGUGUUGGCCCAGGUGAUUUAAAGGCGUUUUAAGUUAACUAAAAAGAUAAAAACCAUUAACGGGUCACACUUUCUCUUCAUUAAAAACUAAAACAACAAAACUUCCAAUUUAUGUAUGAGGAAACUUACCCGGCUUUCUUCACUCCAAGAGACGAAAAGUCUAACCUCUCAUCCUUUGAGGAAAAAUCCUUAGAGUUUGAUCGGCUAGAAAGUAAAAUAACAAGAAAACAAAAAUAUAUAUGAAAAGCAAAGCAAGUGCUCUGUAUUUUACUUCCUUCCAAAACUGUACAAAGGAUGCGUCUCUGGGAACAAGCUCCCGAGAUCGAUCCUUGAUCGAUAUAUGAUCGAUUCUAUAUAUGAUCGAUAUUACAAACUAUAUAUAAGGGGUUAUUCACCCUUUUUCCAAACUUAAUAACUAAGGAAUCCUAUAAUUGGUGGGUUACAAGGAGAUUUUGGGGAUUUAGACAACAAAUAUCUAAGGCAAAAUGUCUCCAAGUGUCGGUCGCACAUAUCUGGAAGCUUCAGGAGAACACCGCGGCACUGUGCAGAAAAAUAUCUCAAAAUGUCGGUCGGACAUAUCGGGAAGCUUCAGGAGAACACCGUGACACUGUGCAAAAUGGCUACGAAACUCUCCGGGUAAGCGCUAUCAGAGGAUCCAGAUACGUUUGACCGGGGAAGUUGAAACAUCCUCCUCUCCCAUCCGGCGUCAGGUGCCGGAUGCGAAAUAUCCGGAUGGAAUGUCGGCGGAGCAGAAUUCCGGAUGUGAGACAUCCGGGUGGAAUGUCAGCAGAGCAGAAUUCCGGAUGUAAGACAUCCGGGUGGAAUGUCGGCGGAGCAACUCCAUCCGGAUUCUCCAAGAGGACACAUGGCGCGCUCCCCUAUCCGGACUCCCUCAGGGAGAAGCACACGGCACUCGCGAUCAUCACACCCGGGCAAUAGCAUAUCCUAUCCGGAUAUGUUGUUCGAAUGAAAAAGAUAGCCUGCCACAGCCCACGCGGCACUCCGAUGGUGUGUCCGGACGCUCUGUCCCUUGCCAUGGAUUCCAAAAAACUCUCCUCAAUAUCGAAUUUCUUUGGUGAUCAAAAAGCUAUCAAAACACCAAAACUUAACACAAUUUGAUUAGAAUUGAUUGCAAGGGUCCUUAAUAUGUUAAUUGGGUUAACAGGUGAUAACUACUACUCAAAAGUGUUUAAAAGAGUUAAUUACAAGUUAUGAAAUAACACUUUUUGAGUAGUAAUCAAUUAGCUGAUAAACUACUGACAAAGCCAAGAAAUCCAGCACAGCAGAUGGUGGCCAGAUGAGGGUAACCGAAUGAAGCUUUCUGCAUGGGAAGCAUUACAAGCCAACAAGCCUUUGUAAGUUCCACAUUUAACAGACUGAAUGAGUGCUCUAUUAAUCUUGAUGCCUUAAAGUGGGUUGAUUGAGGAAUUGAGAAAGAAAUAAAUAAAACAAAGCAGCCCGUUUCAUGCUCACCAUAUCCAUUACCACUCGUGCUUGCCUUUGCUCUCUCUACACCACAUCACAUGCCCAUCACCACCCUCAUACCCAUGCAAACCCUACAUGCUUAUAUAUCCUACCCCACAUGCAUAGCCAUCCCCCGUAAUACCCAUGUAAAUACCCAUUUUCCACACCCCCUAUAUGUCAUCAAUUCUCUUUAAACCCUCUCAUACCCAUCAAAUAUCUUUCUCACCACCUUUUCUCUCCCUAUAUUACCACCCAUACCCAUGCCCAAGCUCACUUCCUUCCUUCAUACCUACUGCCCAUAUCCAUACUCACAUUUCAUACCCUCAUGUUUACCAUGUCCAUUACCACUCAUGCUUGACAUUCCCUCAAACCACCCCAUUAAACCCAUUUCUCUCUCUAAACUUUCUCAUACCCAUUAAACAUUUCUCUCACCACCCUUCAUUAUCUAUCCCACCUAUGUACAUCAUCACCCUUCCAUCUUAAUCCACUUUCACAUUCAACAUACCCAUCACCAAGCCCCGACCUUCUCUCCGUCUCCAUACCCAAUACCAUACUUUUGGAGCCGAUUCAUGCCACGGGUUUCUUGGGUUUUCUGGAAGCUGUUAUGAUGAAUAUGGAAGACCCACGUGAAUGACACCUAAACCAAAUUGGGCAUCCUUAAAUCUUGGUGUACAUAUAUCAAGGGCCCAUGAAGAUGAAUGUUGGUUGGACCCAUAUCCAACCUUGGGCCCAUAUCCAAAUGCCCCACCUUGCAUGGCCAUCCUCCUUGGCCCAUCUUCCAAGCCCACAAACUUUAAAAAUUGAUUAUUGAAAAUUCGGCUUCUAAAUAAUUCAAGUUCACAUUUUUUUUCAUCUUUAAAAUUUUUAAGCCCUAAAUUCCAUCUCCCAAUUUCCAAAAUCCCAAAUUUCCACAUUUAUUUAUUUAAUUGUCGCUAUUUUCAUUAUUAUUAUUAUUAUUUUAUUUAUUUAUUUUUAAAAUUCCAUCUCUAAAUAGUUCUUCAAAUUUCCAAUCUCUAAAUUCAAUUUCCAAAUUUCAAAUUCCAAUUUUCACAAUUAUUUAUCCAAUCAUUAUUAUUUUCGUUAUUAUUGUUAUCUCAUUCAUUUAUUUAUUUACUUAUUCAUUUAUUUAAAAUUUCAUCUCCAAAUUUUCAAUUUCUAAAUUCAAUUUUUAAUUUCCAAAAUUCUAAUUUUCGCAAUUAUUUAUCUAAUCAUUAUUAUUUUCAUUAUUAUUAUUAUUUCAUCCAUUCAUUUAUUCACUUUUUCAUUUAUUUAAAAUUCCAUCUCUAAAUAAUUAUUCAUCGAUUUCCAAAUUUAAUUUCCAAUAUUCAAAAUCCCAUUUUCAACGUUUAUUUAUUUAAUCAUUAUUACUUUCAUUAUUAUUAUUAUUAUUAUUAUUAUCUUUUUUAUUUAUUUAUUCAUUCAUUUUUAAAAAUUCCAUUUUUAAACAAUUCUUCAAAAUUCCAAUUUCCAAAUUUAACUUCCAAUCUUCAAAAUCCCAUUUUUCACAUUUAUCUAUUUAAUCAUUGUUACUUUCAUUAUUAUUAUUAUUAUUAUUAUUAUUAUUAUUAUUAUUAUUAUUAUUAUUAUUAUUUAUUCGUUCAUUAUUUAAGAUUCCAUUUAAAUAAUUCCCCAAAAUUCCGAUUUCUAAAUUUAAUUUCCAAUUUCUAAAAUUCAAAUUUUCACAUUUCUUUGUUUAAUCAUUAUUAAUUUCGUUAUUAUUAUUUUAUUUAUUAAUUUAUUUAUUUUUAAAAAUUUCAUCUUCAAAUAAUUUUUCAAAAUUUCCAUUUUUAAAUAAUUUCCAAGUUUUCAAUUUUCAUAAUUUAAUUUUCCAAAACUCCAAUUUUCAAAUAAAUUUCAAAAAUUCAGUUUUCUCUUGAAUAAUUUUAAUUUCACCCCGAUGCUCAAAUAAUCUUCUGUUCCUCUUGAUUUUUAAUAAGCGUGAAUUAUUUUUUUUCCAAAAUAAUGGAAUUUGUGAUAUUAAUUCAUGCAAAACAAAUUGGGCUUUGGUGGGGGCCCUACUUAUGAGAUCUCUCUUCUGAUUGUUAAUUGUUAAACCUAAUGAAUAUUGUUUGAUUUUUGUUUUGAUCUUUGACAUGCAUGCAAUAUAUUUUGUAUUUGUUAUUGCACACUAACUCUGUUUUAUGAUGGCGCAUUACUCGCUUGCUGACAAGGUACGCACCCAUUCUCACUCUGACCAUUCUCCAUGUUUUGUUUUGGCUCCCAAUGUAUGAUCAUAUUUUGUUAUCCACGUUUAAUAAAUCAAUUGUCACACGUGCUUCAUCUUACUAGUAGAGACCCAUUUUUAGCAACUUAGAGGGGUGCUAUGGUUUUUACCGUACCUUCCCAAUAAGUAACCUGACCCCCGAACCCGACUCAAUUUUUUUCGCAGAACACCUUUUUCAAUUAAGGAGUCACACUUAGGGUUUCUUUCUUAUUUUGUCUACUCUUUAAAAAUAAAAUAAAAAUAAGUGGCGACUUCAUGUCAUUUUCUUAAUAAAUAAAUCAUUUUUCAAAUAAAAAUCGAGUUCGCCAUCGAGUGGAAGCGCAUGAGCCAAAAUACGGGGUCCACAAUUAGUUUUUAAAAAAUAAUUCAAAACUCAAAACUUAUUUAAUUAGAACUGGAAAGUCAUGAAACUCAAUAACAUUAGAAAAUCAUAAACCAAAAUUCAGAAGGAAAUGUCUUGGCUAGUUCUUCUUUGCAUAUAAUCAUAUAUGUGUAAAUUCUUUUUUACUAGGCAAAUAAACUCCAAAUUAAAUAGGACUUAAAGCAUUGGAUUAAUUAACAAGUCUAAUAAUUUUUAAAAAUAACUUAAAACUUAAAUAAUGAUCCAACUACUACCAUAAAUUUAUGAACAAAAAUUAGUUUAGAACAACUCUAUUGUUUCUCUUCUAUAUAGAAUUAAUUUUUUUUCCACUAAGAAAAUAAAAUCCAAAUUACACAAGACUUAAAAGCAUUAUAUUCAUUAACGAGUCUAUUAAUUUUUAAAAAUAAUUUUUAGUCAAAUAGAGAACCCAUUAAUACCAUAAAUGUGUGGAUAAAAAUUAGUUCAAAAUGAUAUUUUAUUUUUUUUACACAUAAUUAUAUUUUCAUAAAUUUUUAUAUUAGGUAAAUGAAUUUCAAAUCAAGCAACACCUUUUAUUAAAUUUAUUAAUCAGUUUAAUUUUUUUUUAAAAAUAAGUUAGAACUCGAAAAUAAAUCUAAUCAUAAUAAAAAUAAUAUAAAAAAAUCGAUAUAUUAUAAGUCAUGAUUUUAUUGUCUUUCUUAUCUACACAACCAUAUUUUUUGAAUUUUCUCAAUAGGUAAAUUGAUUCUAAAUUAAAUAAGACAUAAUUAAUAAUUUUUUUAAAAAAAUUAAUGAAUAUUUUCAUUUUUAAGAAUAAUCUGAAUUAAAAAAUUGAUAUAAUUAAUUGCAUAUUAAAUAAAAACACUUCAUAAUAUUGUAUUCAUAAUUGAGUACUAAAUGUUUACCUGUAAUGAAAUUUUUAACUCAUUAACAUGUUAAAAAAAUUAAUCUUUAUUUUUAUUUAUUAUAAAUAAAAUAUUAUUAACAAUUAUUGUUUUAUUAUUAUUAUUAUUAUUAUUAUUCAUUUUUAACAAAAAAGACAUCUUAGGAAAAAUGUUAAUAUCUAUUUUUUAACAUAUACUGAAAUAGUAUAUUUUUAUUAAAAAAAUGUAAUUUAUGAUUUUAUUAUAAUAUUGCUAUUCAUGUUUUACUAAAAUCUAUUCAUUUUUUUAAUUUAUUUAUAAUUACAAUCCAAAUUCAUUUUUAAUAAGACUUGAAUUACAUUUAAUUAAUAUUAUUUAAAAAAUCAAAAUAAAAAAUUAUUUUUAAAAACAAAUUAUUCAAACAAGUUUUUUAUUUUUUAUUUUUAAAGAUAAUUUUCCAAGUACCCUUAUUUUUUAUAAAAUUAAAAAAAAUGUUUUUAAUUCUCUAACUUAAAAACAAUUUUUAAAAACACAAAACAUAAAAAAGCAUGGUUAAAUAGGCCCUUUAAUUUGGAUUUAUUCUCUAUAAUUUGGAUUUAUUGAGAACGUUUUGUGAAUUAAACCAUUAAUGAAAUUGACUUUGUUUUUUGCACUCAAAGCCAUAAGGAUAGCCCUGCUCUAAGUUGAAUAGUUUCCACGACAAGAAAUUGAGACAUAAACAUAAAUACUAGGUUAUCAAGUGCUCUAAUACCAUAUGAUAAAAGCUUGUAUCGAAAACCUAUUAACAACAAUCAUAACAUUUUAACCAAUUUAAAUUUAAAUUUAUAAAAUAUCAAAUCUAAAAUAUUUUUUGGCUACUUCAACUUUCAACUUUUAAUUUCUAAAAAUCUUACUUAAUUUAAGUGUUUAAAUCUAAUUAUAAUGUGUUUACUUAUAUAAAAAAUUAAAAUUAAAAUUUCAAUUUUGCACUUGUUUAUUAUGUAAUUUAAUUUUUAAAUUAUAAAAUGUUUUAAUCUUUAUAAUCAAAUAUUACUUUAAUUAUAUUACAUUUAUAAUUAAAAGAACAUGUUUAAUUUUUAUAAUUUUUAAAUAUAUAAAACUAAUAAAUUUAAAUGGUUAAACCAAGAAACAUGAUGAAUCAUAAACAUGUCAUUUUAACACAAUUAAAUAGGGAUAUUUGACAGGGUUGAAAAAGUAAUAUGACCCGUGUCAACCCAUUUGUUACGGGAAUUGACAUAAUUAUGGCUCGAAUAGGAUUACACUAGUGGAUGUUCCGUAAAACAAUUUAAGAACUUAAAACAAUUUAAGAACUUAAUUUAAGUCAUUAAGAAAAUUAAGUAUGCUUGGUAAUAUAACUUAAAGUAAAAAAAUAAAAAUAAUUAAUUUAUUCUUAAGUUUAUAUCUUCAUUUUAUAUUUUUACCCUCACUCACCAUAAUUAUAUUCACAUCUCCUUUGUUACUCUACAUUUUCACUUUUACUCAACCUCUUUUUCCUUAAUUAUAAUUUUUGAAGAUAAAUAUGUUAAUUUGAUGAUUUAAAAUAUAUUUAAGUUAAAUUUAUCGAAUAACUUUAAUAUUUAAAAAAAUAAUUAAGUAAUAAAUUUUAAGUUAAUAAUUUAUAAGUAUAAUUUAACUUAAAAUUAAUUUAAAUUAUUGAGUAAUAAGUAUUAAGUUUUAUCAUACGACUCCUAAUUUUUAUAUACUUGCAUAUCAAAAUCACUAACCUUGCUGUAUGGGCCAUACAAAACAGUGGUCAAUCGGAAAUGCUUAUAUACGUUAAAAAUUCUUACUUGGGCGAAGGAUUUGAUUUGUUUAUACCAAAGAUCCAAUUUGCUUUGGUUGGACAUAGAAUAGGGAGGAGGGUAAAGGGUUAAUGUUUGUAAUUUUGGUGGAAGGCUGUUUUUGUGAAGCAUUCGAAAUCUAUGAGAAGGAGCGUGUGGCCUCCAUAGAGUGGAAUUGAAGCAGUUCUCAACAAAGAUAGAGAAGGGGACGAAGGAGGCUUUGCCCCUCAUUUCUUUCGGCAUAUUGAAGAAGAAGUGAGAGUGGAGAAUGGCGAGAACAGCAUGCCACACUCUCCUUCCAACUUUGGCCUUCCCGUUCAAAUCUUCUUUCUUCACAAAAUCUCCAAUCCUCUGUCCUUCACAGUCUCUGUUCUUCCAUGCCUUUCCCAAGCCUUUUUCCUCUUCUUCUUCGGCCAAGAUAAGCAUGAGCUUGAAGGCUGGCAUCGUCGGACUCCCUAACGUUGGCAAAUCCACUCUCUUCAACGCCGUUGUAAGCCCCUUCGUAAUCUCUCUCGUGAAUUCAGCUUGUCGUCGUGGGAAAAUGCAAUAUAUUUGAGGAUUUUGGUUUUAGAUUUUUCGUUAUUUGGGAUAUUAGGAAUAGAAGAGCUUGGUAAAAUAGGGCCUCUGCUUGCAUUUUGUGUUAGCUUAUUUGUUAACGAAACACUGAUUGAUUGUUGGGAGAAAUGAAGGCAAAGCAAAGAAAUUGAGGUUUUGAGUUUUCGAUUUUAGGUUUGUCUUUGUUUAGGAUAUCAGAAAUGGAAAAUCCUAUGUUUCUUGGUUUUCUGGGCAACCAAACGGGGAAAUGGAGAGAAUAGGGCCUCUGUUUGCUUUUUCUGUCAGUUUAUUUAUUGAACCGAACUUGAGAUGUGCUUCAUUUUACUUCUCUUUGAAUGUCUAUCUGUAGGUGGUGUUGUUAUUCAUAGACUCUGUGGUUGCUGUGAAGAGAAAAAAAAAAAAAACAAAUGGCAUAAGAUUUUGAGUUUUGGGAUUUUCACUGUUUGGAAGUUGAAAACACAGGUCCUCUACUGGCAUUUUGUGUUGGCUUAUUUGUAAGCAAAUCAGAACUUGAAUUUGUGUUUUAGUCACUCAAUUAAGCAAUUUUUUCGGUGCAUAGAUUAUGUAGUCAGGGAGACUUGGUUGAUCCUUCCUACUUUGUUGAGAUGCCUUGAUAUUAAGUAGGAUUUUGGCUAGCUACAUAUGUAAGAUCUGGGUCGUGUUCAUUACAUAAAUCCUCAAGUGGAUGUUCAUGUGGUUCUGGGAUGGUAUCUCUUUUUGAAUAGUAUUUUUCCAGUGUACCAAAAAAAUGUGGAUCAUUUUUGUUUCUGGCCUUCAACAUUAUUGAUAUAUCAUAAAUGUUUACUGUUGGUAUUUACCAUCUAGUUACAAAGUUAUGGACUUGAGAUGGUUAUACAAUCAGAUGCAUUCUUAUCAGCUGAAGGACUACAGUUGAUUCCAAUUAUGAUAGCAAAUGCCUUAAUCUAGUGCAUGAGGUUCUAAUAUGUCCUGAAUUACCUCUCUGAAUUAAUAGCCAACAUGAUACUACAGUUGUUGUUUUUUGUUUUUUUUUCUUCUCUUUAUUUUUAUUUGUUAUAUUGCUAACUGAUUCUCUUGCUCUGCUUCCCAGUUUUUAAUUUUUUUUAAUCAGGCAUCUAGUAUUAAUAAGAUAACAUAUUUCAGGUUGAAAAUGGGAAGGCUCAAGCUGCGAAUUUCCCCUUUUGUACAAUAGAGCCAAAUGUAGGGAUUGUUGCUGUUCCAGAUCCACGCCUCCAUGUACUUUCUGAUAUCAGCAAAUCUCAACGAGUAGUUCCAGCAUCUAUAGAAUUUGUAGAUAUUGCUGGGCUUGUAAAGGGAGCCAGUCAAGGGGAGGUGAAAGUUUCUUGAUUUCUUGUAGUAUUGUGUUUUUUCAAUAUUCAUAGUUUGCCUUUUCAGUUGUCUUACUUUUAAGUUAUUCAACUUAACAAAUUUUCGAAAACUCAAUCUUUCAAUUGCAGGGUUUGGGUAAUAAGUUCUUAUCACAUAUUCGGGAAGUGGACUCCAUACUUCAGGUUCUUGUCUACCUUCAUGCAUUGACGUUUUUUGUUCCUGUUUAAAAUGAUUAACUCCUUUUAUUUUAUGGAAUCUUUUGCCUGUUUUUUAGUUUCAACAAUGACAUGAUUCAGGAAAACUUGUAGAUAGAAAUUCAGAAUGGCACUAUUUUUUUAAUGGUUCAGAAAGGAAUUAUUUACUUUGUCUAUUUUUCUUUUUGCAUGUUUACACCAUGGUUAAGUUUUUGCCUCAUUUCCUUCCCUUUUUUAUUGUUCUAUAGAUGCUUGUGGUUAUAUUGAUAAACAUUUAAUUUCUCUUAAGUCGGAUUCUUUGUGAAAAUAUGAUAGAACUUAGCAAAUGUAUAUUUUUGCUCUACGUUAACUGAAAUGGUUAUGUCAGUGUGGCCUUAGUAGUGGUUGAAAAUUUUUAGGGUCUACCUUUAGCACACCUGGGUUCUGAAACUUAAAAGACCACCAUUGUUUCAAUAGCUAGUUUGAAAUGCAUGCACUUAGAUUGGUCAUUUGAGGUGUCUACUUUUCAUUUCUGGGUAGUGGGUCCAUGGAUUUGUCAAUUUUUGCCAGUGGAUAUUGGGUUGUAUAGAAGUUAGGAACUUAGGAAUUAGCAGGUGUUUGCUGUAAGUGGCACAUGAGUUGUUAAAGUUGUGAAGAAGUUGGUUUUCAGUAGGAGUUUUUGAAUGAAUUGUAUUCUGUGUUUAAGAGAAACUAAUCUUGUCUUAUGCCCUUUGGCCUUGCCUCACUUAGUAGGGAUUGAAAUUUCCUUACAUCAUGCUUUUGUUUUCAAGAACACUGGUGUGUUUUAGAUUUAGUAAUUUUAUGCUUGAAACAUUUGAAGAAGGGGAAUAUUUUUUGAAAUUCUGGUGCUCAAGAAGUUACUGGGAUAGUGAUCUUGUCUACAAAUUGGGGCUGCUUGAUGUAAAUGAAGGUUGGUAACAGUUUCAUUUUCUUGCAUGUGGGAGAAAUAGAAGUUUGAACUCAGGCCUACUGAAUACACAUGGGUGACCUUGUAACUGCAUCCUUGCAACAUGCAUAUCCUUGUGGAGUGCUGUUUUACAAUUUUUACAUGCCUUGUAUUUCCUGGUAGUCAUUCCUCACCAUUCCAUGCCUUAACUGUUUCAAUUUACUCAACUGCAGAAAUUCCUCUUAGUACUACAGCCUUGACUCUCAAAUAUAAAUAAUUAUUUUCACGCACUCACAUAGGCUGGAAAGGGGAAAUGAAGUGACUAGGAAAGCUAUCUUCAUGAGAAGUUGCUAAUUCUUAUCCAAUGCUAGAUCUGGCAAACCAUUCAAUAAAUACUUUGAGCACCUUUUGAACUAUUGGCUAUUUCAUUCAACCGGACUUGUAAUUGCAGUGCAGAGAGUGCUGAAUGACUGAAUAUGAAUCAUCAUAAAGCUUUGUCGAACUAGUUUGCAUGUGGAAGUAUCAGGUUUUCUAUGGAGAUGUUUGAGGACUCACAUAAAUGGAUGCGAAGGGUUCAUCCUUUAAUGAAGAAACCAAGUUUUAUUGCAUGGACUACAAAGUUUUUGAUAUAUGUUUUACUUUUUUGGAGUUAUCUUUAAUUGAUCAAUCAGAUGAAUUAUCCAUUAGCAUGUACUAUCAUUCAUAAUGUGAAGAUAAAGUUGUAAAAGCCAUGUCAUGAAGAUCAUGCAUAUCGUUUUGGAGAGUGUUUUUGUUCAUUCCUUUUCUGUAUUAUGUUAUAAAGGCCUGCUGUUCGUUGGUUAAUUAUUGAGCCGUUGAUUAUAAUUUCAGGUUGUACGCUGUUUUGAGGACAAUGACAUUGUUCAUGUGAAUGGGAAAGUUGAUCCAAAGUCUGAUAUCGAUGUCAUCAACUUAGAGCUAGUUUUCUCAGAUUUAGAUCAGGUAUGCCACUGGGAGGUUGUUGCCCAGUUGAAGUUCAAUUCUGGAAUUACUUAAAUACCAGUUACCAGCACUAUGUGAUUUUCAUGAGAGUGGCAUUCUCAUGACUUUGCUUGCUAUUUAGUGGAUAUGACAUGAAAUCUUCCUAUCGAAUAUUGCAUAAUAUUUAUAAUUUUGUUGUCUGAUGUGGCCAUGUCAUGUAAUUUUGCUGUAUGAUUUGCACUUUUCAUCAUAGGAAUUGUAUUUUCUGGACUGUUCAACAUAUCCUAUAACACAUAGAAACUUCUGUUUGUCUUCAACAUACAUCAAUAACAUAUUAUGAUAGGGUGAACUGAUAGAACUAAAUUGCACCUUCUACAAGAAAUGCAGAUAGAGAAAAGAAUGGAGAAGCUGAAAAAAGGCAAAGCAAAGGAUUCACAAUCUAAACUGAAGGUAGGAUAAUUUCCAUGUCUCAAGUUACUACAUGAGUAAUAUGUUUUAUCGAUAACCUUCUUUCAAUAUUUAUUUUAGCCCGAGGCAAUAGUAGUUUUAAAUAUACAGCUGCAAUCUCUUAAUUUCAGGAGGAAGCGGAGAAAUCAGCCCUGGAAAGAAUUCGGGAAGCACUUAUGGAUGGAAAACCAGCACGAUCAGUAACUUUAACCGAUUUUGAGAAAGAUGCUAUAAAGCAUCUUUGUUUGCUUACAAUGAAACCAAUCAUAUAUGUGGCUAAUGUUGCAGAAUCUGACUUAGCUGAGCCUGGAAGUAAUCCCUAUGUUAAAGAAGUGAUGAACCUUGCAUCUGAGUUGCAAUCUGGAAUUGUAACAAUCUCAGCACAGGUUGAAUGGACCUUUGAGCAUAAUCUUUUUCAUUCUUGAUUACUGAAAAGGAUUGUGGACAUGUGCUUACCUGUAUUUCUUUCAAAUUGUUUUUUGAAGUUUUUCUCUCUCGAGGGUUUUGUUUUGCAUGUGUGAAGGGAGAAAAGCUAGUUAUUUCUCAAUAUUUCAUCCUUUACUAAUAUAAUAAGUUUGUGCUUACCUGUAAAAGAAUUGUUUCCUUUUUGUUUCCAUUAGCUUUUGCCAAAUGCUGAUACAAGUGUUUAGGUUGCUAACCUCCAAAUUAGAUAAUUAAAUUUGAGAAGCAUGUUAUUGCAGGUUGAGUCAGAACUUACUGAACUUCCAUCUGAAGAAAGAACAGAAUUUCUGAAAUCCCUUGGUGUCAGUGAAAGUGGCCUUGGAAACCUUAUUAGAGCAACAUAUAGCCUUUUGGGGCUGCGUACAUACUUUACUUCUGGUGAAAAGGUGAUAAAGACAAUUCCAAAGUGCAUUUUCUGAUUUAGUUAUUAUUAUUUUCAUACCUACUUGUUUUAAAAUUGUUUUCAUGUUGUAUGUAGGAAACAAAAGCAUGGACCAUACUUGCAGGUUAGUUUUGGUUAUUCUUGUAGCGAAUUAUAUUCUAAAAACCAUAACAGAAUUCUUUGUACUAGACCUUUACUUACUCUUUGGUAGUUUUAAUGUCGGUUGUACCCUUGUAUUGAUCUGAUGGUCAAUUUCCUGUUGGUGGAGAUUGUAUUGAACUGCUAUUGGUCAAUGGAAAACAAAUAUUUGACUGCUAUUUAUUGAACUUCGUUUGGUUUUUGUUAGGAAUGACUGCACCUCAAGCUGCUGGAGUUAUUCACUCAGACUUUGAGAAGGGUUUCAUACGAGCUGAGACGGUAAACUUCAUUCUUGAAAAUUGUUAUAAUGAUAUCUCCCUAAGGCUGAUAUAAUGAAUGGUGAAUAUUUAAUGGUUUUAUUUCAUCAGGUGGCUUAUGAUGAUUUUGUUGCUGCUGGUUCACUUGCAGCUGCUAGGGAAAAAGGACUUGUGAGUUGGUUGCUUUAUCUUUGGCACAAUUUUUUUUUAGAGAGGGUUUUGCAAUUGCACAUAAACAUGUUAUAUCACAUUUGCUGACUCUUAUGGAACCUCAUACUUUUGUUUCCGUGUGUUUCACUUGCCCACUUAUAGUAACGUAAGGGGAUAUAUCCUUUUGACAAAAUAUUGCCAAUAUUUUUUAAAUAGCAAUGAAUAGGUGGAAGAAAGAGAAGACAUUUCACUUGUUCUAAGGCAUAUUGUCACAACUUUCUCAAAUGACCCUUCCUUAAGCUUAUAUAUAUAUAUAUAUGUGAAUAGAAAGCUUUUGGAACCUCUUAGAGUCAUCUACAAUAGUGGAGGAGUGUGGAAGGUUUUAGAGAAGCUUAGAGAUGUCCACAUAUCUCUACACUAAGGUGGAAGAGAAGGGAAGAGUGUGUGAAACUAUUUAGAGAGUUCUAGAGGUCUCUUGUAAAUCCAUAGGUUCUUAUAAAUAGAAGGUGGCCUUAUUUGGCCAAGGCACCUUGACAUUUUGUGGAUACUGUCAUGGAUGUUUCUGUAUAUUUGCAUUAUUAAUAUUUCCAUCAGUUUUGAUAUUUUAACCUUCGAUUAUUAGUUCUGAACCUUUCAAAAUCAUAACUUCAAUUUCUCUUCUAAGAUCAAGGAGCUAGCCAUGAUAAGACAUCUUUUUGAUAGGAAACAACAUUUUAUUAAGGAAAGGGAAUCUUUACAGAGAAAGAUGAGCUAUCCUUCAAACUCUACUAAGAUAAUACUUCCAAUAUAAUUUUUGAGUUAAAGGAAAUUGUAUAUAUGUUUAUUUUUGAAAUUACAAGUAUUAUGUAUAUAUUGUAUGGAAUACUUAGAAUUCCUGUGACAAAUAAUUCUUUUUUUUUUGGUAGUUAAAAUGAGAAUAUAUAUAAAAGGACUAGAAAAAGAGCCCACCAAAGUACACAACUAAUAAUUCCCAACUUGGUCCAUUCAAACCAAAGCCUCAAAAAACAAAAAAGGAGAGCUGCAAUGGCAGUUUCUUUUUUCUUUUUUCUUUUCAUUGAUGUUGCAAUAGUGUUGAGAGAUGGUUAUUUAGGCAAAUGUUGUGAAAUUAUGUCACAGUUUAUAAUUAUUUCCCUUGAGGAGUAUCGGGGAGAACUUGUGAAUCUAAAACCAUAUUGUAAAAUGACCCCUAACCAAGCAGAGCUUCUCACAUUUCUUUCUUGCCUGUUGAUAUGAUUACUAGCUCAGCGUUUUAACAUAAAAUUUCAACAUGUAGUACUUUGGCAUGACUAAACCUUAUAAUAGCAAAAGAUAAUUGCAUGAAAAGACCUCCAUUUAUGCCAUUUCCUCCUAAUUUAUCACAGUUUCAAAAAUCUAUUCAAACUCUCAAAUCCCAAUUCCAACACCACAACAAAACCAACUAACUACAUGGUCACAAAGAAAUUCCUAGUGAUGCAACUACAAUAAUGUAUUUCUUUAUGUUGAACUUUCAUUUAGGGAAAUUGAUUGUCUAACAUGAAAUAAGAGUCUUGUUUGGUGGGAAGCCAUAUGUUCGAACCUUACCGCAUCUUUAUUUCCUCAAUUUAUUAAGCCUAAAAGAGGUCAUUUUAUUUCUCCAAUUUAUUAAGCUUACAUGUAAACCCAAAGGGGCUACAUGUGAGAGAGGGUGUUAGAAUGCAUGAUUUACAUUGUGGGUCCAAAUCCUAUAAUCUUAAACUUUUAAGAAAAUUGGUCAAUGCUUAUCCUAUAUUUGGUUGAUCAAAUAUCUUUGUGUUUCUAGCGUCCCAGACAAUGAAAAGUCUUAGUAUUAAAAAGUUCUUCUCUUUCCUACAUUUUUUCCAGCAAUUUGAUGGAUUUGGAAUAAAAUGAAAAACUGUAGAUCCCAUCAUCAACAUUGGUGUUAAUAAAGUAACCUUGCAUCCACCCAUCACGUAGGACUGGCCGAAAGAUCCUGUGUUAAAAAUGGGUUUGCUAAUGCAUAUCCUUAAUGUUGCUUUGGGUUCAAGCAAUUUCCUUUGUGGGAAAUUCAACUAUAAAUUUUUCUGUGUUUCUCAACAGAAAAAAGAGGUUCUUGGAAGUUGGAUUUCUUGUGGUGGAGGAAAUUUGGUUUAUCCUCUGAGCUAAGCUACUCCUUUUUAUGGAUUCCACGCUCCACCAACCAUUUGACAGAUUAUUUGGUGGAGCACGGUGCUUCUAGUUUGGAGGUUUUGUUGGCGAGUUCAUGCCUCCUUGCUCUAUGGUCUUUGUUUUGGUUUUUUUAUUCUACCAGGGGCUUUUGCCUUUAUAUUCUUGUUCAUUUUUCUCCUCUUUGGUGGAUGUCAUCUCUUCCAGCAUUUUGUUCUUCCCUUUUUUAUCAGAUCUUGUAUUUCUAUGAAUGAUAUAAUCUUUGUACUUUCUAAUUCAGCCUAUAAAAUGAGUUUUAUUUCUGAUAAAAAGAAGGCACACCACAUUCACAAACUUAUGCAUGUGCACACACAAGCAUGAAGAACUUUUUUUUUCCUCAAAGAUACAUGCUGAUUUGCUGAAACUAUUGGUGUUUGACAGUUGAGAUCCGAGGGAAAAGAUUACAUUGUACAAGAAGGAGAUGUAAUGCUGUUUCGUUUCAAUGUUUGACCUCAAUAUUGCUUCUCAUUGCUUUACCCAAUCAAGCUGGUAGACAAUUCAGGAUAUAGCUCAUUUUAUAUGAUGGUCUUGGAAAUUCCUGAUGAAUGGGAUUGUCUUAGAUGGAAAGGCCUGUGCUGACCGCAAAACAGUAAGGUAUUCUUUCAUUUUUACGUCCAGAGGGAAGUCAGAAAUUUUGCUUGUUGAGGAAAUACUUUAACUGAUGUGAAUCCAGUUGGUUACAUCUUUGUAAAACUAAGUAAUUUUAACAGGAAACUAAACUAAGAGGAAACAGUGAAGUCAAUAAUACUAAAAAGAUAUUAAGUUUUUUCUUCCUUCUUUCCCCCUUAAUAUUUGGAUAUCAUGUCAUAACCUGCUCAAAUGACCCUUUCUUGAACUUAUGCAAGAGAGCAGGAAGCUUUUGAAACCUUCUAGAGUCAUCUACACUUAGUUACUAGUGGAGAAGUGUGGAAGCUUUUAGAGAAGCCUAGAUAUGUCCACACAUCUCUACACGAGAAUGAAAGGUAAGGGAAAUGUGUGGGGCAUUUAAGAGAGUUCCAGAGUACUCUUGUAAAUACUUGUAUAUAGGAUUUGUAUAGGUGUUUCUAGAGAAUAAGGAGGUGACCUCAUUUGGCCAAGACACCAAGCAAGUUGAAAGCUUCCUAGCAUUGUAAGCAUUCUUGUACAAUACAAAGCUUCCUUUUUUUUGGUGUUACCUUUGUUUCGCAUCCUAGCUACCAAGUCAUGUAGCAUUGCUUAACAUAUCAAGUUCAAGGUUAGGGAAAGGCUGACUUAGCAACAUCAAAUGGUUAAAUUGUUUAAGUGCUACACGUGAGCUUAGGAAAGGCCCAAGUCUGUAACAAUCAGGUACUGUUGUUCAGUUAACUGUUUUAUGGCCAACUUGAGGGAAAGAUUUUACUUGCUUUGUUUUGUCAGUAUAUUUGAAAAAUCCAAUAUAUGUGCUAAUUUGAUUAAGCUGCUGAAAUUUAAAGAAAAAAUCUGGGAAAUAUUCACAUGAUUAGAGUCAUAAGUAAUCUGAUGUUGACGAAUAUAAAUUAGAGACAAAAGGAAUUAAACGAAAUAGGGUGAAAUAGUAUGCAAUUUGUAUAGACUAAUGAUGAGAUGUCUUUAUCUUCAACUUUAUAGUGCUAUUUGUGAUGAUUAAGGCUGUUGCCCUGUUUUGAAUCUUUAUUGAUUUGAUUGAUGAUGUUUUUUGCCUUUAAGCAAACACAAAGUCCUGAAGCUUUCACUUGGAAGCUAAGCUGAAAACAAGCUUUAUCACUUCCCAAAUCUACACUCUUUAAGAAAAUCUAAGAUCACAUUCAAUGAUCAAACCCUAAUACUAGGAUUUUUCUAUCUAUUUUCCAUAGUCCCAAACAUAAAAGUAUACAAGUCACCAGUUUUUAUGCUUGUCACAUCCAUCAUUUUCCUGUAUUCUAGGUCCUCUUUAGGAUGUGAUUUAUUCCUCAGUGCUGUUUGCUCCAAGAUGAAAAAUGGAAGGAAAUAACACUGGUUUUGAACUGUUGAUGGGUUCAGAACCUGUAUUAUGAAGUUAAUAAAAAAGCUUAAACUAUGAGGUUAUGGAUUAAUAAUGUUUUUUAUUGGGCACUGAUUAUUUCCAAUUUCCAGCUGUGUGGUGGUUGUAGAAAGACAUAGAAACCAAGGAGAAUGAUUGAGCUUUAGAAUGGAUUGGUGUGCAAUAAUUUACUUAGGAUAGAAUUAGAGACGGCAGAUCUGGCAUAUUGCAUUUGGGACACAAGAGGAUGUAUAGAGUUGUGAAAGGGCAAGCAUGAGCCCCAAUGAGGAAACCAUUUGGAAUGGUGUUAAGCUUUAAGACAAAAAUGUGCAUGUGCAUACCCAUUUUCAUAUAACCAUUAGGGACAAGGCAUCUGCUCAAAUCUUCCAUGCCUGUGGGGCACUUUUCUCAAACAGAUGGCUCUUUCUAUUGUUCUUGUGCAACACAUUGAGACUAUCUGCAAUGGUUCUGUAAAAUUUAAAAGGUUAGGUCUCAUUUGUUUGUUGGUUCAAAUGUUAGUAUAAAGCUUGUUUUGAAGUUAAGUUUUAUUUACAUAUAUUUUAUUUGAAUAUAAAAUGAUAAAAAUAAAAAAUAAAAAUCCAACUUUUAUCUAAGGCUAUGUUUUCCAAAAUGUUGAGGAAAAUGCGAUGGAAAGAAAAUAAAAAGGAAAGUGGAAGAAAAAAAAAAAGUGAAAGAAAAUGAAAAAUGUAUUUAAAUUUAAUAAAUUAUUUUUAUAUAUUAUUUAAUUUGUUUUUUUUUUUAUCUUUUUUAUAUAAAGAUAACAUAAUUUGAAAAUAAGUAACUUUUUAACUAAUUUUAGUUAUAUUUAAUUUUUUAUUUUUUAUAAUAUAAUCAAAUAUGAGAAAAUAUUUUUUUAGUAUUUUUUUUCUUUCUUUAUUUUCAAAACCAAAUAUAACCUUAAAUUUGAAGUCAAAAUGGAAUUUAUAGGUUGAUUAUUAUUCAAAUUUUAGAUAAGUUUAAGUAAUGUAGCUCUAAUGUCUCUUUUCGUUCCCAAACUUUUUUGAAAGUCGCAAGAUAAUGUGUUCUUGAAUAUUGAAAAGUAUUUAUAAAUGCAUAAAAAAAUAAAAGAAAAUAUGAAAUAAAUUUAAAAUCAAUAAAUUAUUUUUAUAUACUAUUUUAAGUUAAUUUUAUUUAUUUUAGCUCUUAUAUAUAAUUAAAAUAAUUUAAGAUUAUAAAAAUUUUAAUUAAUUUAAUUGCAUUUUAUUUUAUUUUUUUCUCACAUUUUUUUCAUAAUAAAAUCAAACAGGAAAAAAAAAAAUCAUUUUUCUUAAAAAAAAUUUCUUUAAAUCAAACAUAACAUUUGAGUGCAAAUGUUUUCUUUAAAAUGGUUCCAUGCAUAAUUAAACACUUUGUAAAGCUCUAUAAUAAUGAAAAAUCUUCUAUGCAUGGCUAAACGUUGUGUAAAGCUCUCUAAUAAGCAAAAAGCUUUUAAGCAAUUAACAUGUUGCAAUAAUGGUAAGUUAGCCCGGAGUUUGUGAGGUUUAAAAGAGUAUUUUAAUAAUAAAAGUGUUAAUUUCAUUCACUCGAGGUUUCGACUAAAUACAUCUAGUCCCUAUAGAUUUAAAAUUUCAUCAAAUACUUCAUCUAUCAUUUUCAUUUCUUAUUUUCACUCAUCUUACUUCUUUUUCAAAAUAAGGGAGGUUGAUGGUAAAAGGGUUUUUAAGACUUGUCUGACAACUUUUGAGAAUAGUUUUCCAUUCUAAUAUAUAUAUAUGUUUGACAAUUAGAAACUAUUUUUUAUUUUUUAUUUUAUGUUUUUAAAAAAAAGAAAAACAUAGGCAUUUUCAUAAAACAUCUUUUAGUUGUCUUUUGUUGUUUUCACUUGUUUUCGAAGAAUUAUUUUGGAAAAUAAUUAUACAAGCAUAUGAAAUGAUUAAAAAUAAAGUACUUGAUAUAAAAAUUAUUUUUAAAAUAUAUUUAAAAAUAUUAAAAAUAAAUUUAAAAUAUUCAAAGUUCUCAAAUAGACUUUUGUUCUAUAAAACAUUAAAGAAUAGUUUAAAAAAAUGUUCUCGAAAAUUAUUUUUCAAAACUAUUUUAAAAAAUAGUUACCAAAUAAGUCCUAAAUUAUUAUUAUUAUUUUAUAUUUCAAUUGUUUCUUAAAGUAAUGUAAAAAAAAAAAAAACCUAAAAAAAAAUUGCCCUAGAAAAAUAAACUUGUUAUUAUAACAAUGUUUCUAAAAAAACUUUUUUUUUUUUUUUUUUUUUGGGGUAACGAAAGACUAUUUCCAAGUAUAGCUCCCAAACAAAUCCUCAUUUUAAAGAGAGGAUAUCAUCACUUAUUGGGGAAGCUAUUUCUAGCAUUAAGUUGUCUCAUAUUUAACUGAAUUUUAUACACAUAUGAAGUGGGCUUUUAUUACAUUAGAGUUAGAGUUAUGUUUAAGUAUCUGAGAUGCCUUUAUCUUUUCAGCAUUUCUUAUCUUUUGAGAUCAGGGGUCACCCCGUUUGGUUGGUAGGGAACAAAAUUGUCUUUUCGUUUUGAAAGAAACAAACCAAAAUUCCCUAUCUUUAGGUUUAAUUUAUGGGACCAUCCCAUCCCCCUUCACCUUCAGGUCUAGUUUUCUCCUUAAACCCACCAAUUCUUUGAGUCAAGUCAUGGAAAAGGCAUAUGAAAAAUCAUUCCAUGAGGGGAUUUUUAGGUAACUACUAUAUUUUCAAAUUUAUUAGUAGAAAAUCCUUCCUUAAGAGUGAUAAAUUUAGUAUAUUAAGGUUAUGUUUGGUUCCCGGAAAAUAAUAAGAAAAGAAAAAAAAUACAAAGGAAAAUGAUUUUUUCAGCUGUACUAUGAAAAAUAUUAAAGGAAAUAAAAUAUAAUUAAAACUAAUUAAAAUCUUAUAUAUUUUUAAAUUAUUUAAUCUUUAUAUUGAUGAGUUAAAAUAAAUAAAAUGGGUUUAAAGUAACAAAAAAAAAAAAUAAUUUAUCAACUUUUAAUCUAUCUUUUUAUUUUCCUUCAUUUUUUUUUCCUUCUACUUUUUCUUUGUAUUUUCUUUCCCUUGCAUUUUCCUUCAAAUUUUAUGUGAACCAAACAUAUAAAAGUUUUAUUAAAAAUAAAAUAAAAAUCCUCAACUCAAUGUACUGGGUCUGAUUUUUUCCUCCAUGCCCACAAAAACUGUUGGUUUCAGAUCCAACCCUCUUACCUAAAAGCAAUCCAUGAUAGAAAGAAUGAACAAGAGUUUAGUUGGAUUGUGACACUCAAUCCACUAAAGUGGUUAAAACCCGCAAUCCAAAUAAUAUUAUUGUUAUUAUUUUUAUAAAAAGAAAGUAAAUGAAAAAGAAAAAGAAAAGGAAGAACAGUACAUAUUGUGGCAACUUGGACACAUGACUUGUGGCCCAAAGCUACAAAUAGAAGAUGGCAUGUUGAUAUCAUUUGAAAAAUGUUUUGUUGCAGGUGGUUCCCACAAUCCAAGCACCCAGAAACAAUGACAUUGCACCCACUUCACACCACCCAAUUCUUCAUUCCCUCAUUCUAUAUGGAGCUUCUCCUUUUAUUUCAUCCACUUUGAUCUGUUCAUUCCUUACAAGAAGAAGAUGAAGAAGAUCAACUUGAUACUCAGGAAGUGCAAGAGCCUGUCAAGGCAGCUUGGGAGAUCUUCAUCCUACAGCAGCCUGAGAUCCAAAUCCACCCGAGAAAAUGUAUGGGGAGACAUGCAUGAAGAAGAACACAGGGAAGCCAUACUGGUAGGGAGCUCAAAAAGGAGAUACAUGAUAAGUUCUAAGUACUUAAACCACCCUCUCUUGAACGCCCUCAUUGAUAAAUCAAAGCAAAGGCCCGGAGAGGCUUUACUGGUGAAGUGUGAGGUGGUUCUCUUUGAUCAUCUCUUGUGGAUGCUUGACAAUGGUGAUCCAAACCUCAGUUCUGAGUCCUUAGAAGAACUGGCCGAGCUCUACGCGCUCUGACGCCACGCCAAUGAUGAAGUAUUCGACUAGUUUAGAAGCUUAAUCUGUCCAUGGUAGGCUGCAGCUUCAUUCUGGAUUAUUUGGGAGGUGAUAUUCGGGGUUUUUUUCUAUGCAUUUGUUCUACAGUUGUUGGUAAUUAAUCCCUUCUUGUCUAAGUUUCUAACUCACUGUUUGUGAAGAUGCAACAGUUUAUUUUUUGCCAUGUACUUGGGGUUUUGUUGUGUUAUAUGAUUCUUGAUGCCUACAUUUCAAUAAAAUUCUCCAAAAGGAAUCUUGCCAAGAAGUGAUGUUUCGAUGUUGGUGGAGGAAUUAAUUAACAAACUAUAGUUUGAUGCAGUGAUUCAAUUGUUUGUUGAUAUUCAAAUGGACCCACUUGGGUGUUGUAUUGUAGUUUCAAUUGAGUGCAUGUUGAGAGGCUGAGAGCAAAACUGCAUUGAGUGAACAAUGAAAUUUGAAUAGUUUUGUGCUGUUUUUACCCAACAUUUAUGGUGUCCUUGGAAGUUGGAAUUGGAAACAAGAAUAGCAAAUUCAUUCCAUCUUCUAUUUAUCACUAUUUUUAGAUUCUUAUGAGGAAUGAGAAUAGCUAUUACUAUAUUUAGAUUUCAUACAAGGAAUGAGGAUAAGAAUAAAGAAAUUUGGAGUUGAUUAACAAUGUUUUUGAAAAUAGUUCUCAAAAUAAUUUUUAAAAACAAUUUUUAAUUGCUUUUAGAAAUAUAAUUUUAUUUGGAAACUCAAAUAUGAAAAAUAGUAAUCUCAACUUAUUCUUCAUUAAUAGAGAGAACAACUUUAAGAUUGAGAAUGAGUCAAUUUCAUGCUGAUCUCUUGUUCCAUUUAUAUAAAUUCAUUCUCAUCUUCUUUUAAUUAAAGGUUUAAAUGAGACGGAAUAGAAAUGAUACGAGAAUUUCCCAUAAUUGCCACACCCUGCUUAUUUUUAUUUUUUAAAAAUUUUAGAUUGUUCUAAAUUUUUUAAUUACAUUAAAAAUAAGUUAUAUAUUUUUAUAACUUAUUUUGUUUGAGGAGUAGCUUUUUUAAGUCAUUUGUGUUAAAAAUGGAAAAAUGAAAAAAAAAAAACAAAUUUUAAUUUAAUUAAAUAUGUAAUUGAGUUGAGUCGAACAUGACAAGACAAUAUUAAAAUCCGUUCCAAGUUUUUUGAAAAAAAAAAAAAUACUCAAACUCAUCCCUUACUGGUUUAUUUUCAUCCAUAUAAAAUUUUUCAAAAUAUUCUUUAUAUUUUCAAUUAUUUCUUAGAAAAGUUCACAAUAAACAACUGAAUUGCCUCAAAUUUAUUUAAAAAAUAAUAAUAUAACUUCAUAAAAAAAAAAUUAAAACUAUUUUUAGUAAAAUAUUUGCCAAAAUACUUUUGUAAGUUGGAAAACUACUUUCAAGAAUAGUUUUCAAACUCAACUUAAUUUUAUUAGGAUUUUGAAUGUUGUCUUUGAGAACAAUGAUGCAUUUCGAUCCAUCCACUAGAAAAUUCUAUCAUUUAUUUUCUGGGGAUCAUGAUCCACAAUAUUUUCAUAUGUUUUCAGUAUAUCAACUCACAAUUUAAAAAUAAGUUUUUUUUUAAAAAUAAAAUAAAAUAAAAGAGAUUUGGAUUUCAAAAUGAUUUGAGAAAAAUUUUACAAUUUAUUAUUUUAUUUACUUUUUAUAGUCAAUUAAUUCUUGAUAAGAUCUGUCAUGCCACAUUAGCAAACAAAAAAAAAAAUCAAAAAAUUUUUAUUACAUGUUUUUCGAUUUUUUUUUCCUCUUCCAUUUAAAUAACUAAGAGUUAGAAAAUACUUACAUUUUUAAAAUAUUUUUUUGUUUUGUGUUUUCUACCGCAAGCUAAAACUACAGAAUUUGGGCUCUUUCUUGAUUUUUAUUUGGAUUAAUUGAUUAAAAAUAACGAAAAGAUCUCAAAUUUGUAAAACUAAUAUCUUGAUUUCAUUUAUUAUCGAACAUUUUAAGAUUUACCAGUGUUUCUCAAUCAAUUACUCUUCCAUUGAAGUGGUAUUAAUAGAAGUUGAUUCGUUGUCUAUGUUAGACUCGAUCAUCAUCUGGUUGAGCUCAAUGGUGGAUAAGGGUUUUUUUUUUGUAGAACCCUGCAAUUGGUAUGGACAUGAGGUGUCUUUGUAUACACUAUGUAUACUUCAAUGCACUCUUCUGUUAGGCAAUGUAUACAUAAAACCAUAGCAUUCUUCUCAUAACAUUCUAGUUGAUGAUUCAAAACAUUAGAUUAUGUUCGAGUUAUGUUGUAAUUUGAGUAAGGAGAGUUGAUCCUUGAGUCCUUAGAAGUUGACAACCAUCGUCGCUUAAAUGUUUCAAAUUUUCUCCUCACCAUACAAUUCCGUCCAAUAUGUAAAGCCCAUCGUUUGUCUAACUUGAAUUUGCAAUCAACCUAAGACAAGACGAGAUAUAGCAUGAGAUAUAAUAAUUGUAAGUUGAGAUAUACGAUAUACAUAUGUCAUAUGUCAUGGAGCAUAAAUUUAUUAAUCUCUUUCUAUUUCUUCAUUUUUUUUUCUCAUUUAUUUUAUAUUACUUAUUUUGCAAAACAAAAAAUAGAAUUAGAAAAUUAAGAGUGUGUUUGAUAGUGAUUCUACAAAACGUUUCUAGUAUUUCUAACACUUGAAUGAUAAAAUUUUUAAAGUGUUAAAAAUAUUAAAAGUGCUUUCUAAAAUCACUUCCAAACAGACUUUAAGUAUUUGUUGAGAUUCAAUUCCUAUUUUUUGUUUUGAAAAUAAGAAAUAUUUUAUGAGUAGAACAUCUUGUACAAAAAGUAUAUAUUUACCUUAUAUCUUCAAAAUCACUUCAAAAAAUUUUAAUAUUUGAGGUAGUAAAAGUUUUUUAUACCUCAAAAUCAUGUGAAGUCACUAAUCAUUAAAUAUUAAGUUUUAUCAAACGCUCACUAAGUUCAGAGUUUAAUAGGAUGUUUGAGUCCCUAUGUGGUUCCCAAUCAUUCCUUUUUGCUUUCCAAGUACUAACUUGGAUUCAAACCAUUCAACCUUUCUUUUCUUUCCUUUUUGGUCCUAAUUGCAUCCUUGGCAUACAGUUUUUCUCCUAAUCACUCUUCCACUUGAUUUAGAGCAUCAUUUCUAAUAUGCAUUAACGAACUCUAACCGGCUGAGGAUAUGGUUAAUCUCUAGUUGAAUAGCUAAAAGUUGGGUUACCCGAUCUAUGAUAUCUCUAAAACUGAAUUAAAAAGGUCAUUCAGUCAGGCUAGCCAUGGAGCUAGAGGCUAUAAUAAUACUGGUUCAAAGCUGUCUUAUUCACCGCUCUAACUCAAUAUCAUCUAUAUGCAAAGGGACAAUGUACCUGGGCUCAAGCCAGAAGACCAAUUCAUUUUGUUUAUCCUGUAUUGGAAGAAGGAUCCAACCGCGUCCUCUUUGGCUCGUGGUCACCUAGCUGCAAUGAAAUUGCUGCUCCAUCAUCUUCAUCAGUGUCAUGCUUCAAUGAAGAAAGAUUCUCAGGAGUCACCCUCGCCUGUUCAAUGUUUUCAUGGAGAGGAGGUGCUUCAGGGAAGCUAGGUAUGAACUGAUGCUCAAAACAAGGACAAACCCUCACCCCAUCUUCCAGAAGAAACUCUGCUUCCACUAAUGGUCGAUUCAAAUCUGGGCUGCCAAGUCCAUCAUCCCAAGGGUCAUGCUGGAUUUGAAAACCCUCAGACUCGAAUUUCUCUUCAGCUCUGUCCUUUGGAAGCAUUUUAUCCUGGGGUGAUGAGUCCCCAACUGUGGAGCCUAUUGCUGUUGCAGAGGCAGCCAUUUGUUCCUGCAAUGCCACUACAGCACAUACACAAAAUAAAGAUGAGUCUUUAUACAAAAAAAUGUAGCUGACACAAGCUCCCUUACAUUUUACCAUAUUCAAUUUCAUGUCCAUGUGUUAGGUUUUUGUUUAUCCUCCUCAAGUUGAGCAUAUGACAGCAUUUAUACCCCAAAAGACCCAAUAUUUCAUGUAAGUUUGUAACAAUGCUUUCUCAGCCUCUAACGUAAAAAUAAAUGAAUAAAUAAGAAAAUACAACUACUUAUAUUCUCCUUCAAAACAAGUUCAUCAACUGAAAUGACAUUGAUCCCUCGUUGUUGAGAUUAUAUUAUGGUAUUUCUUCUCUAACUUCAACUCGAAAAAAGAAAAACAGAAAAAAAAAAUUGACGGUAAGAAGCAAGAGUUGAUGAAAUCAGAGAGGGAUAGGGAAAAAAAAUUAGACUAUCAAGGAGGAAUAUUACAAUAAAACACAAGGGAACUGAUAUAAGGCAUUAGGGAAAGGACAAACCUCUGAGCCCUUCACUAGUUGUGAUGAGAUCAAGUUCAAGGAGAUUUAGAAGGCGCCCAAUAUCAACUGCACUUGUCCAAUUCUCUAGGGGUAAGCCAGCUUUCAACUUAACUCGGCCACGGUUACCAUUUCCACCCCAUAUGAUGCCAAUUGGCCUUGCCUUUUCUCCAUCCUGGCCAGUUAACACAAUGAGGCUUCCACUGUCUCCUUCAAGGUCAAAUGUCUGUUGGUUCUCACCAACAACAAUCAAAUCUGUUAAGAGGCACAUCCCUCUCUCAUCGAUGUACUCAAGGGCAUAAGCAAAUAUAGUUCCAGUUGUCAACCCAGAACUUCUCCCAACCUUCACCACUUGUUUUCCAAUAAUGCUAUUCAUUGGAGACUGCAAGUCUAUUUUCUUGACAUCUCCUAUCUCUCCUACACCUUUUACCAAUGUUGUUAUUGUGCUCAUGUCAAAAUCAUCAGCAAAUGGUAUGAAUGCCCCAUCCGCUCUCACAAAUGUCUCUGCAAAUGCAGCAAACCGUAAUUUGUACUAUGGGGUUCAGGAGAUGACAAGAUUAUCAAAUUACUGGGAAACCAAUUUGUCAAAAUAGUCAAUUUUAUCUAUUACCCCAAGGAGCCUAUGUAUCAAAACGGGGAAAAUAGACGUUGUGUUAAGAGGUCCAGGACAAAACUACAUUAUCAAAUUUACUGGGAAACCAGUUUGUCAAAAUAGUCAAUUUUAUCUAUCACCCCAAGGAAGCCUAUGUAUCAAAAUGGGGAAAAUAAGGAAAACAUGUUAAGAGUCUAAAACACACACACACACAUAUCAUGGAUCGGAUGCAUUAGAUUGAGGUCUGAUCAAUAUGAGUGCCAUGUUUAUUGCAGUAUGAUGUCAGACUAGGAUAGAUGCAGUAUGUUAAUAAUUUGGGACAAGAGGGCAAUCUCAGUCCCGAAAAUGCUGUGAUGACUAUGGUACAUAUAUUUUCCGGAAAAUUGGGGAUCAAGACAUGAUUUUUGAACCCAGCUAAGUGAGAGCAAAGUCAAGUUUCCAUGAACAUGCAUGGUCCAAGAGAGGGAUAAUUAGGUAAACUCUACCACUGUAAUUCUAUUGAUAUAAUAGGGCCAGGUAAAAUCAGGGAACACCUCUCAUCCCAUAUCCCCUGUUGCAAUAAACUCCAUUUCUAAGAACUUAAACUUGUUUCAGCAAAAGCUGAGUGAAGGUAUGACAAAGCAUUUAGAAAACAAAAUUUGAAGUUCUCAUGAUCACAUGAGCACUCAUAAUAAAAGUGUAAAAGUGUAGUUUAUCAUCUCUAGAAGCCACAUAUGUCAUGAUAACUAGCCACACAAAUUGGAAAUACAUUACCUGGGUUUAUUCCAGCAAAGAUGCCAAACCAAAGAUCAUCUGUGAUGAAUGAAGUAGCCCUCUCCACUGCACCAAGAUAUACCCCAGGUCCAAGUGUUGGUGGCAAAGGAUGAAACAUCUUCUGACUUGGGUAAUCUAAGUUAACUGCAACAUGCCGGUUUGUGAGAAAACCAACUUGUCUGUUGCCAGUUUGACUCCUCACAAUAGCACCUAACGUUCCAAAACCGUCUUGGGAUGCAACCUGAGCAUAUAGCUUCCAGCCUAUCAGAUGGGAAGCACAAAUAGCUACUCUAAAGAACCAUCUCAAGUAAAAGAAACAAAUCAAUCAAAAGACAAAGCAAAGGAGACAUGCAUAAUUGUGAAGUACCUAAAAGGUGGCAAAACAAAUAAUAUCUCAUAAUAGGCAUUCUCAGUGAUGCCUUAUAAGUCUCAUCUUCAAAUUCUAAGAUACCCUCAGGUAGACUGCUCAGUUGACUGAAUAAUACAACAAUCACUAUACCAGCAUCGGUAGAUAAUUAGCGAACACAAAAUAUUUUAAAAAUAAAAUUGAAACCCACUUAUAGCAAUAAUACCAUGAGAGAAGAGAAAAUUUUUGGAGAAAUAUCUCUUAACUUCUUUGUUCGGAUACCAAAAUGCCCUGAAGUGAUUUUUUGGUUUUUCCAAGCAAUACAAUUAACACUAUAAAUUAGAUCAUAUCUUCAGCUAUGAACUAGCAUUUUUGGCAUUCCUGCUUAGAGGCUUGCAAAGUUCACAGUUCUCUUAUGACAAGCCUGUGAUUCUAGCUUGACAAGUUGGAAAUACAUUCAAGCUCUUAAUAAACUAAUUUUUCUACCCAGUUUUUCAAAAGGAAAAAAAUAAAAAGAAAAAGAAAAAGAAAAAGAAAAAGAAAAGCAAAGGAAACAUGAUCUAUCAUUUAAUUAUGAGUCAAGCUCAAUCCAAAAUUUUCUAUCUAGUUUUUCAAAAGGAAAAAAAUAAGGAAAAAAAAGGCAAAAUAAACGGGAUCUAUCAUUUAAUUAUUAGUCAAGCUCAAUCCAACAACAUACUGUCUUGAAGUUGGAUGCAUAAACUCCAUUUUUCAUUUCUCUGUCUAGGGUCAUAUCUUCCACUGCAUGUUUAGGUCAUCAUGCCUUUCAGACCUAAACAUGUUCUUGAUUUUCCCCUUAUCCUUGUAGUGCCAUCAACUUGACCAAAGAAUCUUCAUCAACUUUCUCUCAGCUUGUCCUCUAAGUCACAUGUGUAUGUAUGUAUGUAUGACAUUCAGCAGUAUUUUUUUGGAUAUUUUCCACAUACCCUGAAAUGUUUGAGCUUCCCAACGGCUAGCACCUGAUUGGUUGCACAAUUUGUGCUUCCAGGGUCUACACAAACAGCUAAACCCUAACCAAGUUUUAGAAGAAUACUACAAUUGUAAUGAUCCCUACAAAAACACUAAACAGAAGAUGCAGGUUAUAAUGCAAAACAAGAUUAUAUUAUACCAUGCAAACAUAGGUUUGGGAUAUGGAUAAAUAACAGAUACAGUAAUCCACAUCGUUCUAUUUAAUACAAGUGACUUCAAUGACUCAAAAGAGAUGAAUAAAAGUUUGUUAUGCCUGGUUAUACUUAUGAAAAGUAGUGACAACUGUAUGAACUCUAAAUAUUCGUACAUUGUGAAAAAAAUAAAUGGAUAGACAAAGUUAAAUAUGUGCAAUCAAAUUACACCAGUUGGUUAAUAAAAAACGAAAGAACAAUUUGUAAGUGCAAGUGUGUGUGUAUUGAGAUUAAUUUUGCAACUGCAACUGCAAAAGGAGGAAGAAUUUUGCAACUGCAAUGAAAGCAUAGAGAUGUCUGCACCAAUUUCUAACAUUUUAAAGGCAGUAUGCAGAAAAAAUUUAAGAAGAAGGAGAAGAAGAAGAAGAGUUUCUAGAUUGCCAAGUUUACAUCAAAACAAUUAUGACAUUGGAUAAACAGAACAUUAUAUCUCAGUCAAGGCUGAAGGUUGGUUGGAUAAACAAAAGAUUAUAUCUCAGUCCAAUUUUGAAGGGGAAUAAGGUAUAAUUUUCAUGCAGAGAUAAAACUACCACCCUCCCAUCGAUGGACCAGUUUAAUUAAAACAGAAAGGCUGCAAGAGGCCCUGAGAAUACCUGAGAACCUGAACCGAUACAUGGAUCACCCCCACGCAGGUCAUCCAUAAUCUCAGUAUAAUACUGUUCUUUGGGAGCUAACUCAGGUGCACCAAAAUAAGCAAAUUCAACCACAUCCACAUCACACCAUAGACCUCCAGGCCCCUGAUAGAAGGAAGCAAUUCAACAUCAAAAUAAAACACAUGUCAAAUCAUACAGGACAUGCAUUGAAAAAUAUCAAACAAUUCAAAACCAAAAGGGGAAAGGGGAAAAAAAUUGCAUGCAUCACUAACAUCUUCAAACUUAUUCCAUCCUUAUUACUUAGCCAAUUCUGUCCCCUCCUCAAUUAACAAAGAAAAAUCAAUGUGGACAGAAGUUAGGUGAACAGCCUUUCCUCACCUCUAGCACAUUGGGAAAACACUGGAUGGGGUUCAGCCAUUGCUUGUGGACUUUCCGGGAAACAAAAACAAGAAUGGCUGGUAUGUCAGUCAGCAUGCCCCUUCGAAUACGGAACCCAAUUGCAGUGCCAAGACUGUAACAACGCAAGAUUUUGCUAUGAAAUGCCCUUAUGGUCAUGACCUCAAGCAAGGAGGUUGCUUGCUGCCCUUUUGGCAAUGGACCAGGAGUUUCGGAUAGCACUGCUUUUUGAAGGUUGGAAAAAUAAUUUGCCCUCUCUUCAGCAGCAUCAUUUAAUCUGCUAGAGGUAGGCCAAGAGAAGUAAGCAGCAUUACUUUCCGAGUGCUGUCCAGCUGAUGCAAAGGGCUGAAGUGUAGGUAGACUUGAGGAAGGCAGAUGAGAAUGACAGCAACAGUUCCUUUCCUGAUUUGGUGCUGAUUCUUCCGACAAUGUGGAACCAGAACAGCGAAGCCUCAAAUUCAGUUUGGUCUGAUCCAUCUUUUGGUUCACCUGCAGAAAUAAUUUUAGUGCCACUUAAAACAUCUAAGAUAGUGGUUCCAAUACUCGUAAUUAGCAAACUUCUCAUUCCAUAAAAUCCCUUUUUUGUUCCUUGUCUGUUUUCUUGUAUCUCAUAUUUAGAAUUUUAAGCAUAAAAAGUAGCAUGAAAGAUCAAAAAGUAAAUUUCUAACGAUACUCAAGCUACAAAUAAAAGGCUUAACUUCAGUCCUACCUCAAAAAUAUUCAAAUAUGUUGACUGAGAGAAAGGAGAAAAUAAUAGCAUUGCUUUAGUUGAAGAAAUAAAGAACUCAGUGAAUAAAUAAACAUCAAAACAAACCAAAGUCAGAGAAUCAAGAAGAAAAGAAACAAAAGACUUCAGGAAAUGAAAAGCAGUGCUCCAGGAAAAAUACAAAAGGAAAGCAAAUAUAAGGAAGGACGAAUGAUGGUAACAAACAGCUGAUAUAAAUCUUCCACUUCAUCCAUACAUCAAAAGCUGGCAAAGCUCAACAUGAUUUGGAUAGUAGUACCCCAAGCUUGAAGAAAGAAAUUGCCAAAUCUCAACAUCAAUGUCUAGCUAAUAGAAUAGGUGAAUUAUAAGGAUAACUUAUCAACCUCAAACUAGGCCAAACUGUCUAAAGCAUUGAAAUGGAAACAGAAGAAAAUAAACUGUCAAUGAACACUUUAUCCAAUGCAGACUAAAUCCUGCUUUUGUGUACCUUGCUAGUUCUUUAAUUAAUGUUUCUUUCUAAAUAAAAGGUAAAAAUAGAAAAUAAAAGGUGAUUUGCAGGAAAAAUAAACAAUAUAAAAAUUAAAAUGAGCACACACACACAAAAACCCACUAAAUUCAGUGUCAUUUUUUUUAAUUAGAGAUGACAAUUUUACUGCAGUGUAAUAAAAACGUACAAGAAGAAUUCUUCACAUAAGUAAUAAAAACUUCAAGGACUGCCAAAGAUGUGUCAGAUGCCAGUAGCUGUCAUAGUGAUACAGAGGAAAAUAAUCAAGGAAGAAAGGACUCUCCUACAAUAUCCUCUAUACUAAAUGCACCUCACUUGGCCAAUGAGUCUACCAUGUAAGUUGAGCAUGAUAACCACAAAAGGAGCAUCCCAACCCAGUAGACUAAUCAAGGAUCUUACAUAACAUGGAAUCUAAUUUCCAAAGCAUCCUUCUCAAUUUACUCAUGCAAGUGCCAACUUCUCCCAAAUAAUUACAAAACACAUGCUUCAUUUCCAUGAUAUGUAUCAUCUCCCUCUUCCCCUUUCCCCAAGAAUAAAUAAAUAUGCACAUACAUUCACAAAUCCUCAAUUUGGGUCCUAGAUUUUUCCACAAGAACUAACUUAUUAGCUCCUAGUUCUAGAUGAGUCUUUAAAUCAAGUUACUUCAUAAAAUAACUUGGUUUCAAUUUUCUUUCUUUCUUUUUCAUUUUUUUCUUUUGGCUGGUGGUGAUGGGGGUGGCUUGUGUGAAAGGGUAGAGUUCACAUGCUAACAAGAAAUGUGUGUUUACAUUUACAUCACAAACUUAAGACAAAGUAACCAUUUUAGCAAUUAUAUGACAGAGUAAUCACAACCAAUGACAAUCAUACCACUAAAACUUUCUUAAAAUACAUAUCCUGUUUUCUAAUACCAUAAAAAAAGACUAGAUACAGAAACCAUCCAAACAAAAAGCAUGACAUACAACAAUUAUAAGG
Molecule: long non-coding RNA, 65173 nt
Filed under: Vitis vinifera (wine grape)
Lineage: Eukaryota; Viridiplantae; Streptophyta; Magnoliopsida; Vitales; Vitaceae
Description: long non-coding RNA (VVIN_LNC006681)
Source: RNAcentral